GUUUAGUCAGAAAUUCAAUCAAUGCUACAAGAAGUAGGCCAAACAGCAUCAGAAAGACCUGAAAUUGUUGACCAAGUGUUCCACAUAAAGCUCAAGGAGUUCGUGAGAGACAUAAGAGAAAGGUAAUACUUUAGAAAAACACUCGCAAGUAAUACCCAACUACUUGAUCACACCUCUUACUAUAUCCCUAUAGAAAAAUAACUAACGGUUAUUUCAAAAUUGCAGUUAUAUACACAAUAAAGUUCCAAAAAAGGGAUCUCCCACAUGCCCACAUAGUCAUAUUCCUUGACAGAAAGGAAAAGAAACACAAGUACCCCGAACCAUCAGAGGUAGAUAGGAUAACAUGCACUGAAAUUCAAGACUAGUUGAUCCAUAAGGAUAUGUAGUGGUUGAGAACUACAUGUUGCAUGGACCAUGUGGCAUGGUCGACAACACAUGUAUAAGAAAGUUCCCUAAAAAAUAUGACAGUAAUACCACUGUAGGUGAAGAUGGAUAACCAGUAUAUAGAAAACGAUAAGAUCAAUAGGUGCCUCAAGUACACGUACAUAUCAGGCAAUGACGUGUGUUGAAGAAUAUUUCAGUUCAAAAUGCACUUUCAAGAUCCCUGCAUCGAAAGGUUGCGUUUCCACCUAGAGAAUGAGCAACAAAUCAUUUUAACUGAUUAUACAGAUUUAACAAAGAUCGUAAGGAAAGAAAGAGUGGGAAUAACAAAAUGUACAUAGUGGAUGGAGACAAACAAGAUCCCGUGAAGCAAGAGAAUUAACAUAUGCAGAGUUCCCGUUAAAAUGGGUAUGGAAGAAAAAAGAGAAAAAGUGGGGCAAAACAAAGAAAGGAAGAUACGCUGGAAUGAUAUAUAUGCUCAUACAACAAAUGGUGAAAAAUACUACAUGCGAAUGCUACUUAACGCCCGCAAAGGAUGCAUGUCUUUCAAAAGGAACCGUAAAUGGAGUUGUCCACACUUCAUACAAAUCUGCUUGCGAAGCACUAGGAUAUCAACGACAGAGUGGAUUGAGUGCAUAAAUGGGGCAUCAGACUGGGUGAUUGGCUACCAGCUAAGACAACUGUUCACAACUCUUAUGCCAUUGAAGUCACAAGCCCAAAAAUAUUGUGGGGGACAUGCUCAGAAGUUCUAAGCGAACACAUGGAGUAUAGGCAGAGAAGGCUCUUGAACUAUCCUACACUUUGACUAACAGAUACACAGAAGCAAGGAUACGCCUUGGUGAAAGUAGAUAAGCUCAUGAGACAAGCUGGAAAGACAUUUAAGGAAUACCCCGGAAUACAACAUUCGGAUUCUUCACAGAUAAAGUAACUUGGAAACAAACUACUCAAUGAAGAGAUAACAUCAUUCCAGGAUCUUUGGCAAUAUGAACUCUGAACAACUACAUGCGUUUGAUUCAGUAAUGGAAUCGAUGAACAAAAAUUUGGGAAAGAAUAUAUUUGUGGACGGCUAUGGCGGGAUCUGUAAGACAUACCUACGGAGGCAAUCACAGCAAAGUUGUGUUCCGAAGGAAAGAUAGUACUAGUAGUGGUGUCAUGUCAUAUUGUAGCGCUGCUUCUAUAGGGAGCACACUCGAGGUUCCACAUCCCCCUAUCCUUGCAGAAGAGUCAACAUGUUAAGGUUCCCACUUGACCUACUAAAAAAGACUUCACUUAUACUACGGGAUGAAGGUCUAAUGGCAAACAAGAUAUGCUUUGAGGCACUAGACAGAAGUAAAGGUAGUACUAUAUUGUCCUAAACAAGUGUUCACAAAUGGAUAGCUACACGUAGCAUUAUCAAGAUUCACAAGAAGAGAUGGACAAUGUGUAAUGGUAAAUGAUGAAGAUAGCAAAGAGGAUGAUGUGGUCAAGAACAUUGUCUAUACUGAACUAUUUUAAAGGUAUGGAAAAACAAAAACACUUUUAGUAUGAUUCUUAGAUAAGAAUAGGUACAUGAAAAAUUUGUACACUGCAAACUAUCUUCAAAAUACAAAUUAAUAGCAUACCAAUGCUAACAUGAUAUGGCAGGACAAAUAUGGUCCACUGCUCUGCGUAAGUACUGGAAACGUGCAUCAACAUUUGAAGGAAAUAGUUAAUCAAUACCAAACAUGUACACUAUAUUUUCUGAUAUUUGUGGCUUAAUAUAUAGUACAACACAAUAUAAAGAGCAUCUGUGCAUCAUUAUAAUUUGUAUGACAAUGCGGUCAGACCUAUUUUACUACUCUAUUAAUAUAAAUACAUUUUUGUCUUUGGGAAAUAUUAAACUAGAGUUACUCACAAUUACACUGAUUAAUACAUAUAUUUGUUCAAUAUGAAUUGGGGUAAGGUUUUUAUUAUUUAUAUGUGUUAAAUAUGAAUUGGAGUAAGGGGGGCUAAUACUGCCGAUUACGGUCCAAGCCUGGAAAGAAGUGGAAGGGGCAUAAGAAAAUAAACAUUUUCCACUAACAGGCAGUACCUUAAUCACAUUAUAUUGGUAUAUACAACCGUACAAACAUAAUAAAAGGUUAAUAAAAAAUCGCAAUCAGGAAAAGGAGAAAGGGGAACCUGUAGGACGAAGAAAGCUGCCGAUGUGGAGGAAGACGACGAUGUGUCUGGCUGCCUCGACUGGGAACGACGACGAUGCGUCUGGCUCGCGCGCUAGGGGAAGACAACGCUGCCGCCAUCCUCAUGCUGAAGAUGGAUUCAAGCUGGCAGCGGAAGACAAGAUCCAAGCCCACAUCACAUGCGAGUCGAGCUGGGAGGUGCCUCAGUCGAGGACGAGCAAGCUAAAGGGAGAGCAAACUGAUGGUAGCUGAGUUACCAGUCGGAUCUCAUUCGGUCGUAGGAAUUUUGGAAUGAGCGAGCGGAGAGAAGAAGGAAAGGAGAAAGGGGAUCGGGCAAGAGUACGAUUUUUUAUUUGUAGGGAAGCAACUGCAAUACGUUUCUUUUAGCGGUGCAAGAGCUACAUGCUCACAUGUGAAGGUACGGUCUGAGCAAGAGAGAAAAUGUGUGAGCAUUGUGUUGUGUGCAUCUCCGUAGCCUAUUGGGGUAAAGCACAACUAAAGAAAAUACUAUUUAAAGAAAAACACAAGAUUAUUUUUGCCGGAAAAUAAACACAAGAUUUUCUACAUAUUAGCCAGGAUUACGUACAGUGUACAUGCUCAAGAAAAGUACUGUGCACAUGCCCAAUAAAAUAUAGUCCAUAUAUCAUGUAUUUAGCAUAAAUUAUAAAAAAUCAAACAUAUAAUACAUAAUCAUACGAAUAUAAAAACCAUAACCAAUACCAACGAUUCAUAUUUGGACUCAAAAUUAAUGAGCAUGAAACUUCUUUGCAAAACAACUAUAUAUUUUACAUGAACAAAUCUACCACGACAUGAUGGAUCAAGGCAGAUAAGCUCAAAUUUCCUGACAAGUCAUAUCAACAUCAAAAACAUGAUCACCUGAACACAUGACAAUCUUCAACAAUUCAAGCGGGUGUACCUUCACGAUAUUCUCCCAAAUAUGGAAGGGAAUUCCUUUUUUUGCGGGGAAAAAAACUUUAUUACAUAAAAAUAACCACAUCACAACCAACCAAGAAAACUACCAAAUGUUACAUUCUUUUAACCAAACUUUAUUACAUACUAGCCCGCACGUAUGUGCGGGCCAUUUUGCUAGUUCUCCUCAUAUCGACAUCUCACCAAAAACUUGAAAACUUCAAUCACACAAAACUUAACGGAACUUCGUGAGAUAGGUUAGUAUGAUAAAGAGCAAACCAUUUCACUUUGGUACUGUCAAAGACAAGAUUCAUAAUUGCUUCCACACAAUGCAUACCGUAGCAUAUCAUUUUCGCAAUUUAUAUUGAGCAAUAUAAGUCAUAGAAACUAGAAAACAAGCAAACUAUGCAUUGAAAACAGAAUCUGUCAAAAACAGAAUAGUCUAUAGUAAUCUGUACUUCAACCAUAUUUCUGCUACUCCAAAAAUUCUGAAAAAUUAGGACAACAUAGGGAAUUUGUAUAUCUAUCACCUAUAAAAAAUUCAGAUCAAAAGCAUGUUCCAGUGAAUUCUCAAAAUUCCUGGACUGAGUGCAAAAGGUUUUGUUUUUGGACAAAAUCAAGUCAACUAUCAUCCACGCUAUCCCAAAGGCUUUACUUGGCACUUUAUUGAAACAAAAGCAAUAAAAACAUGAUUACUACAGUGGCAUAAUCAUGUGAACACACAAAAACAGUAGGUAAAAGUGUUGGGUUGUCUCCCAACAAGCACUUUUUUAAUGUCUUUUAGCUAGGCAUGAUGAGUUCAAUGAUUCUCACUAAAAGAAAAUAAUUAAAACACAAUGGGAGCAUCAUGAAACACAUGGCAAGCACAUUUAAGCCUAACCCACUUCCUAUGCAUAGGGAUUCUGUGGGCAAACAAUCUAUGGGAGCAAGAAUCAACUACCAUAGGAAGGCAAAACAAGCAUAACUUCAAUAUUUUCAACAUAAAGAGAGGAAACUCGAUAUUAUUGCGAUAUGUAAAAGCAUAUGUUUCUCUCUCAUAAUAAUUUUCAGUAGCAUCAUGAAUGAAUUCAAUAAUAUAACUAUCACAUAAAGCAUUCUUUUCAUGAUCCACAAGCAUAGAAAACUUAUUACUCUCCACAUAAGCAAAUUUCUUCUCAUCAAUAGCAGUGGGAGCAAACUCAACAAAAUAACUAUCAGUUGAGUGAAAAUUAAAAUGAUGAUGACAAGUUUCAUGGUUAUCAUUAUUAUUUAUAGCACACAUUUCAUCAUCAUAAUCAUCAUAAACAACAACUUUGUUAUCAUAGUCAAUUGAAGCCUCACCCAAAAUGGUAGAUUCGUCACUAAGUAAAGUCAUGACCUCUCCAAAUCCACUUUCGUCAUUAUAAUCAUCAUAAAUAGGAGGCAUGCAAUCAUUAUAAUAAAUGUGCACAUCAAAUCUUGGGGGACUAAAAAUAUCAUCUUCAUCAAACAUAGCAUCCCCAAACUUAUGGCUUUGCAUAUCAUUAGCAUCAUGGAUAUUCAAAAAAUUCAUACUAACAAUAUUGCAAUCAUGCUCAUCAAGAACAAUCUAUUGAAUUCUUCUUCUACCAACUGAGCACAAUUUUCUUUUCCAUUAUUUUCACGAAAUACAUUAUAAAGAUGAAUAAUAUGAUGCAACCUCAAUUCCAUUUUUUUGUAGUUUUCUUUUAUAAACCAAACUAGUUAUAAAACAAGAAACUAAAAGAUUCAAUUGCAAGAUCUAAAGAUAUACCUUCAAGCACUCAUCUCCCCGGCAACGGCACCAGAAAAGAGCUUGAUGUCUUCUACGCAACUUUAUUCUUGUAGACACGUCUUGGGCCUCCAAGCGCAGAGUUUUGUAUGACAGUAGCAAUUUUCUCUCAAGUGGAUGACCUAAGGUUUAUCAAUCUAUGGGAGGCGUAGGAUGAAGAUGGUCUCUCUCAAACAACCCUGCAACCAAAUAAUAAAAAGUCUCCUGUGUCCCCAACACACCAAAUACAAUGGUAAAUUGCAUAGGUGCACUAGUUCGGCGAAGAGAUGGUUAUACAAGUGUAAUAUGAAUGAUAGAUAUUGGUUUUUGUAGUAGGAACAAUAGAAAACAGCAAGGUAGCAAUUCAUAAAAUUGAGCACAAACGGUAUCGCAAUGCUUGAAAAUGAGGCCUAGGGUUUGUACUAUCACAAGUGCAACCUCUCAACAAUGCUAAUAUAAUUGGAUCAUAUAACCAUCCCUCAAAGUGUGAUGAACAAUCACUCCAAAGUUUCUAUCUAGCGGAGAACAUAAGAAGAAAUUGUUUGUAGGGUACGAAACCACCUCGAAGCUAUUCUUUACGAUUGAUCUAUCCAAGAGUUCGUACUAAAAUAACACCAAUGAUUUCAGAUUCCUAAUAUUCAAUCCAACACAAAGAACCUCAAAGAGUGCCCCAAGAUUUCUACCGGAGAAACAAAGACAAGAACGUGCAUCAACCCCUAUGCAUAGAUUACCCCAAUGUCACCUCGGGAAUCUGCGAGUUGAGUACCAAAACAUAUAUCAAGUGAAUCAAUAUGAUACCACAUUGUCACCACGGGUAUUCAUAGCAAGACAUACAUAAAGUGUUCUCAAAUCCAUAAAAGUAUUCAAUCCGAUAAAAUAAAAUCUCAAAGGGAAUAACACAAUUCAUCACAAACAAGAUAGAGAGGGGAAAACAUCAUAUGAUCCGACUAUAUUAACAAAGUCCGCGAUACAUCAAGACUGUGACAUCUCAAGAACAUGAGAGAGAGAGAGGGAGAGAGAGAGAGAGAUUAAACACAUAGCUACUGGUACAACCCUCAGCCCCGAGGGUGGACUACUCCCUCCUCAUCAUGGUGGCCGCCAGGAUGAUGAAGAUGGCCAAUGGUGAUGAUCUCCCCCUCCGGUGGAGUGCCAAAAUAGGGUCUAGAUUGGUUUUUCAUGGCUACAGAGGCUUGCGGCGGCGGAACUUCUGAUCUAGGGUCUCCGCCGGGGUUUUUGGAAUAUUUGAUGAUUUAUAGGGCGAAGAGGUGGUGCGGGAGGCCACCGAGGUGGGCACAACCCACCAGGGCGCGCCUGGGCCCCCGGGCGUGCCCAGGUGGGUUGUGCCCCCCUCGGGGCAACCAUCUGGUACUUCUCUGGCCCAUCCUAGGUGUUUUGGUCCAUAAAUGUCUCCAAAAUGUUUCGCGGUGUUUGGACUCCGUUUGAUAUUGAUUUCCUACGAAGUAAAAAACAAGAAAAAAUAGCAACUGGCAAUGGGCACUAUGUCAAUGGGUUAGUCCAAAAAAAUGAUAUAAAGUUGCUAUAAAUGAUUGUAAAACAUCCAAGAAUGAUAAUAUAACAACAUGGAACAAUCAAAUUAUAGAUACGUUGGAGACGUAUCAGCUGUACGUACGUGUACACGGUUUGGAAGGGAUUGCCUGAACUGCUAUGUUGCGGCUCUACUACUACACGUGCCGCUGCUUGCUCGGCCAUGGUUCAUCGUUGCAGAGAGAUGGAUCGACGAGUAUGUACAUACACGUUCGCGACCAGAAUGACAAUGCUACGUACGCUUCGACCAGGUGGGUCCCGGCUAUCAGGGAGGAUAAGGAGGCACUUCCUUGCGUGCGAAGUUAUUGAUGGUGGGUCUGAGCUGUCAGGGGAAGGAUUCAUUUUUUCGCACCUAAUAUGGAGGCACUUCUUUGCGCGCGAAAAUGUAGCUGGUGGGUCCAUCUAUCAGCCUCACUGGUACACUACUCUUCCGAUGGCUGUCGUUCAUUGACUACGCCGUGCAGACAACACCCAGGCAGUGGACGACGGCGAGGCCUAGGAAGGGAACGACGCUGAGCCAGGGAAGACGAGGCAGGUGGAUGCCCAUGCAGAGGGGAGUAUGAGGGUUCACUGGUUCGGCUACAGUGUAAGGCUGCCGUCGCCGGAGAAUAAUAGGGGGUGUAGGUGAGUAGAGGGAAGGCUUGGCCAGUAGUAGUAUGGUCGGGUGGUGAGGCCUGCGCUGCAGCACAGCCAGCCACCGGAGGCUGGAGCAGGCAGUACGAUGGGCGCAAGUUUGGGCGGCUGGAGCAACAAGACCAUAGGUUGAAGAAGCAGCUCGGCCAUUGGAUUAACAUCCAACAGUCAGUGCAGCUAGAAUUGUUUAUUGACUAAGUUGACAAAACCCUGCAUACGCGUUAACUUAGUAGGCCCACAAGUCAGCCUCCAAAUCUGGUGGGUCCCAGCUAGCAGGGGAACCAAUUUUUUUGCGUAAUAAGGUGGCACUUCCUUGCAUGCGAAGAUGUUUUCUGUUUUUUUAUUUCUUAUUUUUCGAGUUAGAAUAAAAAGAGAACAAUUUAGCAUCUUCGAUACAAUCUAUAUUUUCACGGAAAGGAUCAUAAUAAAUCUGGUGGGUCCCAGCUGUUAGGGAGAGGAAACUUUUUAUUUCCACGUAAUAAAGGAAGCACUUUCUUGUGUGCGGAGAUGUAGCUGGUGGGUCAAACCUGUCAGGGGAGAAAUUAUUUGUUUUCACAUAAUACGGGGGCACUUGGUGCGUGCAGCCAUGGGCCAUGUGGGUCCCUACUAUCAGCCAAUCCACAUACAUGCCUCAUCCAAUGGUUGUCGUUUUUUGACAAAGUUGACCACACCGCGCCAAGAGAACCAACGCAGUGAACGAUGGUGAGUAUUACAAAGGGAACGACCUGGAGCAGAUGAAGACACGGAAGUGGAUGCCCAUGAGGAGGGGAGUAUGAGGGUUCAAUGGUUUGGCUACAGUGUUAGGCUGCCGUCACCGGAGAAGAACAUGAGGUGUUGGUGAGUAGAGGAAUGGCCUGGACGGUGUUUGGGAGUAGGGUGGGCUGGUGAAGCCUGCGCUGCAGCACAGCCGGCCACCGGAGGCGGUAGCAGGUGGUACCGCCAGCGGUGGUUUGGGCGGCUGAAGCAAGAAUAUCCGAGAUUGAAGAAACACUAUAGUCGUUGGAUGGACAUCCAACAGCCACUGUUGCUAGAAUCGUGUUUUGACUAUAAGUUUACAAAGCCUUCUGUACGCCUUAGUAGGCCCACAAGCCUUUCGUACGCGUCACUGACUAUUAUUCUAAAAAAAUAGUAGGCCCAAAAGUGAACAUCACAUCUGUGGUAGAGAACAUAUAGCCCAUUUGCGAUUUGUAAUAAUGUACAACCCAAUUUUGAAUUCUAAUGGAAUUUACUACAACCCAGUUAUAGUCUAUUAAAAUUCCAGCCCAUUUUCUAGCUAGGACAACGAAUAAUAAUUUCAACCAACCUCUCUAAACAGAAUUCAACCAAAAAUCCCACAUUUUGAUGGGAUCCGAAAUAUUUUAUCCCAAAAUUUUGAGUCAGAUUAAAUAUAAUUUCAAAAUGAAUUUGUAUUAGGUAAAAAUCUAAAUAAAUAUUUCGUGCGUAAUAAGUAAUGAAAUUAAAAUUUCCAAAUUCAAAAAAUAAUAAUUUUGAAAGUAAUUACCUGUUUGGUGCGUUUUUGUAUAUUUAUAGCCCAGUUUUUUAUUACAUCCCAUUUAUUAUUUCUUAAAGCCCAUUUUCUUGUUAGGCCUAAUGCAUCCCUCAUAGGAAAGAUUUACAGCCCAGCGGGACGGAGAAUAACUAGUUGACCUGGGUUGGGUAUUCUGCAAAAAAGUAUAGCUGGGCUAGCCAUUUUCACCUUGAAAAAAUAAUAUCUAGGCUGAAUAUUUGGUCGACAUAAAAUAAUAGCCUAGGCUAGACGGGCCACAGCCUGCCCAGUUGAUACCCUGCUCCUCUGAGCAACAACAAAAACAUCGCUUAAGAAACACUCUGCUUACACCUAAAAAACAAAUACUACUCGAGCUGCUGGGUCUCAACUGUCGGCCGCUCCUUGUGCAAUUCUCUCGUUUAUUGACUGUAUAGGUUAACGCUGGUGAGGGACCAUGAUGUCAGGAAACCAGGAGGAAGCAAAAAAAUUAUAGUUGUAUAUAACAAGGAGGAACUUGCGUACAUACGGCUAUGGCCCUGGUGGGUCCCUACUGUCAUCCUCUCCAAGUAAAGUCAUCUCCUGAUUCCUCAUGUUCGUCGACCAUGUUGACAAUGCUCAGCGCCACAGCGAGCGCAACAACUCGAAGGACGACGGAGAGGGCCUUGCGGGCCCUACGGAUGGUCUAAUACAACGCCCGCUGCUUAUUUAGAAAGCCAGGAUCAUCGGACACCUAUGAGCACCUUCGAGAGACUGAGACGGCAUGAAACGGUAAGGCCGCGCUUCGGAGCUCUGGAUUUUUUCACACCUGUAUUAAGAUACAAGUGUAAUUUACUCCUCACCGGAAACAACGCGUAAAAUACAGGCGUAAUGAAACCGAGGGCCCGAGGUCUAUAACAAAAACCAGCAAGUUACACGUGUAAUUUGAGAGACCAGUGUAUAUUUUACUAGUCGAAAUCGACCAACCAAGCGCUUCGCCCAAUACCAUCUGCUUUUAUUUACAAGCAUCAGUUUUACAAGAGGUUUUGGUUGAAAAAAGACGAUCCAAUCACGGCCUAAGAUGAUGAGCUGGUCGGAAGAUCAUAUGGUUUCACCUAUAACCUACCCAAGUUGUUGUAUAUGCUAUGAAUGAAACAUAAGACGAUGAACUUCUUAAGCAUAGAAACAAUAAAACGGGAUGAUCUUCUUAAAAUGCAAAUCACUGGCAUUAGAUCAACAUGCAAAACAGUAUGAAGCAUUAUUCUCAGGAGGCACAGUGAACAGCUCGUGAUGACGCAUGCCACAACAUUCCAAGCUCAACUUUGCAAUCAAACUCACAAGGCCUGGCAUUACAUAGACAACAUUCAGAACAAACUCUUAAAAUACCUUACAUAAGUCAACAUUCAUGUGACUAUGCAUCUCAGCAGAGUAAAUAUUUACUUCUGAACUGAACACAAGACACUGGUACGCGUCGGUGCUAUACAAACGGUAUUUAACCCCUUUCCGCGACGGCAUUUGGAACCAUCACCAAGUGAGUGUGGGUGAUAGGGGGGGUCCUUCCCACAUGACCUAGAAACCGUCGGGGAUAGGGAGCCAAGAUGCAUAUACAAUACUCCUACUCGUUUGUGCUCGCAUUGCCAUCGCAAUCGGUAUUCUGUGGUGCUAUGUUUAUGAUGUGCAACCCAUCACAAACGGUUCACUAUUAUAGAACGUGUAUGAUAAGCUUACAAUCACACACAUUCGCUUGUCCCAAAUUGUAUGCGAUAACUAAUUAAGAAGAUUAGCUAAUCAUCAUAUGAGUGUCGAAUAGGAUUAUGAAACAUCGGACCGUCGUAACAUGGUCGUACACGACAACUAUCGCACCAUGCUAUUCUAUGGUGCAAUGUUUACGAUGCACUUCAUCAGAAACAGUUCAUGGUUGUGAAUCAUGUAUGAUAAGGCAACUAUCACAAAUGUUUAGUUCUUCUAUGACAAAACGUUUGCGAUGCGCACAACAUCACAAACAAUCCAUAAUUUUGAAUCAUGUGUGAUAAGGUGACUAUCGCAAACAUUUAACAAGAAAGAACUAUGUGCGAUGUUGUUGUUAAUCGCACUUGUUUUUCUUGGCUGAUCGUGUGUGCAGUGGAGAUUGAUUGCACACGUAGCAGAUCCUAGAAACGUGUCCGAUCUCCACUUCUAUCGUAGACGUUUUGCUUUCGCCAACCGUGUGUGCAGUGUAAUCCCUAAUUUAAAAAUCACAUGUUUUGAAUUUGAUAGUAGGCAAUCACUUAUUUCAUAUCUAACCAUGUUUAUUACAAAUAUAGGUUCACCACGAAUGCAUAAUUCAAUGCACAGGUACAUAUACUAAAGUACUACAGAAGCAUGCAACUUAGCUUUUCUGUCGUUUGCUUCCUGGUAAGGCGAAACUUUCUUGAACGACGCCUGGUCCACACCAUUAUCUUCUCCUUUCCCCCGGCAAACUUGUGGGCGAGGGAACCUUCCUUUCUUUGAGAAAGAGAAAGAAGAGAAAAUAAAGAUAUGGAGCCUUACGGCUCGUUAUUGCUUACCGGGGGUAGGCGCUGCACAAUGUGUCAGAUAACACAUGCAAAAAAUAGAAAGCAUGAAAUCGACAAGAUGUGCGGGGCACAUGAGCUUUACUUAUGCACGGGGUCUGCGCCCGGCUUUGUACAAAGGAUUACAUGCAACAUCGGCAAGACUUGUACAAAAGGUGGUUGCCGGAACAGGUUCCGGCAACCGCGCCCUACGGGUAAAACUUACAAAGAUGCUCAAUGUUCCAGGAGUUGCUCAUCGGAAUGCCAUCUUCGGUCUCAAGGCAGACAGCGCCAGGCCUAGUGACUUGUUUCACCCGGUAAGGGCCUUCCCACUUCGGCGUCAACUUGUUGGAAUUCUUGGCGGACUGAACGCGCCGAAGAACAAGGUCGCCUUCCUCGAGACUUCUGGCAUUAACUUUGCGGCUAUGGUAGCGGCGCAAAGCUUGCUGGUAUCGAGCAGCUCGUACAGCGGCCUGAAGACGGUCCUCCUCAAGGAGCAGCGCGUCAUCUUGUCGCAGCUGCUCUUGCUCAAGCUCAUCAUAAGCGAGCACUCGAGGUGACCCGUAUACGAGUUCCGUGGGGAGAACUGCCUCUACUCCAUGGACUAGAGCGAAAGGUGUCUGCCAGUGGCUUGAUUUGGCGUCGUCCUGAUCGACCAAAGAACCACCGGCAGCUCCUCAAUCCAGUUCUUUCCGCACUUGCGCAGCCUGUCAAAAGUCCUGGUCUUGAGCCCGCGCAGCACUUCAGCAUUUGCCCUCUCCGCUUAACCGUUGCUUCUCGGAUGAGCAACAGAAGCGAAGCAGACCUUGGCGCCAAGAUCUUGGACGUACUGCAUGAAGGUGCGGCUCGUGAAUUGCGAGCCGUUGUCGGUGAUGAUCCUAUUAGGGAUCCCGAAACGGCAAACAAUCGACCUGAAGAACUUGACUGCUGACUGUGCUGUCACCUUCCUCACUGCUUCCACUUCCGGCCACUUUGUCAACUUGUCGAUUGCAACGUACAAGUACUCAAAGCCCCCGACAGCUCAGGGAAAGGGGCCGAGGAUGUCGAGCCCCCAGACCGAAAAUGUCCAGGAUAAAGGGAUCGUCUGGAGAGCUUGAGCUGGCUGGUGUAUCUGUUUGGAAUGGAACUGGCACGCUUCACACUUGGUUACUUGUGCAGUUGCAUCCUGGAGGGCUGUCGGCCAAAAGAAACCUUGCCGGAACGCUUUGCCGGCAAGUGCUCUUGCGCCAAUGUGGUGACCACAUAUGCCUCCAUGUAUCUCUGCCAACAGCUUUUGUCCGUCUUCCGGAUGAAUACACUUCAAUUUCACACCGUUGAGUCUUCUUCUGUACAGUGUGUUGUCGACAAACUGGUACAUACUUGACUGUCGGGCUACUCUUUCUGCUUCUUCUUGCUCUUCGGGAAGUUCUCCUGUCUGAAGGAAACAGACAAUCUGCUGUGCCCAUGCUGGAGCUUGCGGCUCGACAACAAGGACUAAAGGCACAUCUGCUGAUGCGGGAACAUCCGCUUCUACGGCGAGAACCUGCGGCUCAGCCGGAGCUUGACGUUCCCCGGCAAGCUUGCCGGAGCAAAACUUGUCGGGAGCGUCUGCUUCAACGGAACAAACCCUAGGGCUUGCCGGAGCAGACUGCUCCUCAGCACUCCUGGUGUUGAUCUUGGGGACCUUCUUGGCGGCAGCUUCGGGGAGCUCCGCCGGAAAAUAGUCACCAGAAAUCAACUUCCUCUUCUUGCUAUGUCCAGUUGAUGGCGUUACAAACGGUUGAGUCAGUUUGAGCACAAAGAUCCCUGGUUCCACAGGUAACUUAAGUGCGGCGCACUUCGACAGGCCAUCAGCAAUGUCGUUCUGAGCCCUUGGAACAUGUUCCAUCUGUAGGCCGUCAAAGUGCUCUUCUAGCUUUCUCACUUCGUCAACGUAAGCUUCCAUCAACGGACUCUGAUAAUUCUUGUUCACUUGGCGGACGACAAGCUGUGAGUCACCCCUGACAAUGAGCUUCUUGAUCCUAAGGUCUGCUGCGAUCCUGAGACCAGCAAGCAAACCUUCAUACUUUGCGGUAUUGUUCGUUGCUUGCUCCUUGAGAAAGUGCAUCUGGACUACGUACUUGAGGUGCUCUCCGGUGGGUGCAACAAUGUCACAUCCCUAGCUUCUUGUGCUGCCUGGUGUUUGCAUCAUGUUUAAAUUUUUGAAACUUGAACCGAGGAAAUUUGGAAGCCUCAAAACCCUAAAUAAAAGAAGGGCAAAAACCCUAAAAUCUCAUUCAUUGUUCCAAAAUGCUCUUCUUAGAUGUUUAAUAUUUUUGGCAAGGGUUUUGAUCCAAACCAAAAAUAAUGAACAUUUUAAAAGGAAUUAUUUUGGGACUUUGAAUUUAAAUCAAUACUAUUUUGAAUUUGAACUUAUAUCCAAAUAUUACUGAAUAUAUGUUCAAAUAACUGAAACAUUUUUAUGUGCUUUGGUAUAAUUCCAUUGUGCUAAAUAAAAUGUUCAGGGGAAUUUUGUCACUGUCUUUAAAUUUGUUUUAUUUAGAAACAGUGGCAAAAGGAAGUAAAUUAAACAAAACAGAAGAAAAAUAAAAAAAAGAGCAGAAGACCUACCUGUCGCUUACCUGCGCCUCACCUGUGCUGGCCCAGCCCACCCUGCCAGUCCACUUGGCGGCCCAGCCCACCAGGGGCACCGCCGUCUUCAACCUCUGCCUACUGGCAGAGGCGUGUCGACGCGCCCGUGCCCGGGCCUCCACCUCCUGCUUCGCCGUGGCAGCCUCCCCGACAUCCUCGCGACACCACGGAGACACCCAGAGCCUCCCCUCGUUCUCCCCACUCCCUCUGGACCACUCCCCCCUCCUCUGGCUCCCUCUUCCCCUCUCUUCCCUGUGAGCCCCGAGAGCACGCCGUCGCCGUAGCCAUGGCCAUAGGCCACCACCCGCCCAACCAGCACGGCGAAGAGCUCCACCACGACACCGUGGAGCUACACACUGACGCAUGCGACCACGGGAGCCCUGCAACGUCAUCCCCGGCCUCAUCUUCAACCUCCGGCUGCCGGUGACUUCGCAGUCGAUUCACGGGCUCCAGCACUUCCCCGACCUCGUUGUCGACUCUGCUAGUCCCUACGUGAGCCACUCUCCAUUUCCCCCCUGGAAUCCCCGUCGUUCCCCUCCCCUAGCUAGCUUCCCCACCUCCGCCGAAGCUCGCCGCCGCCAUGGUCAACGAGCUCCGUGCUCGUGAGCUCGUCGGCUCGCCCGAGCAUCACCAGCGUGCUCUCCGUGCUCCUGCGAACCCGAAACACCCAUGGGUGCUCCCUGCCAUGCCCUAUAGCGCCAUCUCCGCUGUUGCCCGAGCUCCGGCCACCGCCUCGCUUGCCGCAGUUGCCAAUUCCGGCCGCCCCGACCCCAACCGACUCCACCAGAAGUUGCGGCAUGUUCCCAGCUACCCAUAGCCACCCUCCGCGGCUCGCUUGGUUGCCGAAACGACCAAAACCACUCUCGCCGCCGCGUCGGGCUCGCCGGCGGUUAAACGCCGGCGACCGUUGACCCUUGACCGACGUGGGUUGACCCCACUGCCCGGUUUGACUCUCCCCUCUCUCUCACUGACAUGUGGGCCCGAGGCCCUGCUAACUUAGUUUAGAUGCUAAUUAAAUUUUAGCUAACCCAGUGACUCGCUGACUGUGGGCCCCAGCCCUUCUAAUUACUUUAGUUAAGAGUUAACUAAACCCUGGUUAGUGCUGAGUCAAUGACAGUGGGCCACACCCGUCAGGUUUGACCUGCAGUAGAGCCUGUUGACUUGCUGACGUCACAGUGACGCAGUGCUUAUGCAAUAAAUCAUUUUCUGGAUUUAAUUUAAUUCAGGAAAUUCCAGAAAAUAUUCUAAACUUCAAUAAAUCAUAGAAAUUCAACCGUAACUCCAAAUUAAAUAAUUUAUAUAUGAAAAAUUAUCAGAAAAAUUCAAGGAAUCCAUCUGUGCCAUUUUCAUGCAUGUUAGAACAACUUAUAGCUGCUGUUUAGCACAAAUCAAAUAAAUGGCAUUUGAAUAAUCACAUAUGGAGUUUGAAUUUGAAUCUUGUAUUCAAACCAACUUCAUUUAAUCUGUUGCUAGUUGCAUUAGCUCAAAACACAUUCAUAUUGCUAUGUCAUGAGCAUGCAUCAUAUUGUGCAUUGCAUUGAUUGUAUUUCUUCUUUGUUGCCGGUAUCUGUUCCCUCCCGGUAGACGAUGUUCCGACACUGUGAUCGAUGACACCGAUGAAGAGCUAUGUUAUCUUCAGAAGUGUCAGGCAAGCAAAACCCCCUUGUUCAUUCCGAUAAAAUCCCACUCUCUCGCUCCUGCUCUCUUUUACUGCAUUAGGACAACAACGACAUAUUUGUUACUUGCUGCGGUAGCUGAACCCCUUUAUCCUUUGCAUGACCUGUCAUUGCCACAGUAAAUAGAUGAAACCCACUAGCAUGAGUAGGAGUUGUUUGAGCCCUGUUGUGCCUACUCAUUCAUGCUUGUUUGUCAUGCCUGCUACUGCUUAAGAGUUGUGUCAGGUCUGAUUCAUCGGGAAUGAAUCAGAGGUGUGUGAACAUGUCCUACCGUUGAGAGCUAAGUGUGUGAACACGAUUUGGUAAAGGUAGCGGUGAGAGGCCAUGUAGGAGUACAUGGUGGGUUGUCUCAUUGCAGCCGUCCUCAGGAACUGAGUUCUGUGUUUGUGAUCCAUGAUCAGUUACUACCUCACAUUGGGCUCCGGGCGCUCCAAGCUCUCUCGACUUAUUAAUCAACAUGAUCUCUGUCCAGGAGUUGCAACUAGUUUCUGGUGUUUGUAGGUAGUGUUAGUAGUCUACCAAGUGGCACCCGGUACAGGUGGGCUUGGGACAGACUAGGCACAGUGGCACGGUGUACCAAGUGGCACCCGGAUGGUGGGCUUGGGAACCCUGCUCACAUCGUUUGGGGCCAUGAGCGACACCCCGGCCGGAUCUCCUUGCGGAUGGAACCCGAAUAGGCGAUAAACCUGGACUAGAGACUUGUUCGGUUAGUCAGGUCGUGGCCGACUCCCUCGCCCGGCUUCCGCUUGAAGGUUGCCGAGGUACAUGAUGUGUACAGGGCGAUAAGUGGCGAAAGCGUGUGUGAAGAAGUACACCCCUGCAGGGUUAUCAUUAUCUAUUCGAAUAGCCGGAUUCCUCGGAUAUGGAAACUUGGACCCCUUGCAUAGUUCAUAGACAAGUGAAAGUGGAUACUCUAAAAUACGCAAGAUAAGCGUGAGUGCUAUGGAUGGCGUUCUCGUAGGGAGACGGGAGCGGUUCCAUAGUGGUGUAUUGGUUGGUGAAGAUGUGGACUCGUGUGCGCCACCUCAAAAGAGUUACUUGCAAUCAUAGUUCAGGAUAGCCACCGAGUCAAAGCUGGCUUGCUGCAGUUAAACCCCACCAUCCCCUUUGUUGAUGAUGAUGCAUUUGUAGUUAGUUCUGAUGUAAGUCUUGCUGGGUACAUUUGUACUCACGUUUGCCUAUUUUAUGUUUUUGCAGAGAGACUUCAGUCUCACUAGUAGUUCCGCUUGGACUUCGACGUUUAGCUUGUUACCUCAGCUACGAUCUUGUGCCCUCGGCAGGAUCUGGUAGAUAGUCAGGCUUCUAAGCCUUUUUCAUUUAUAGAUGUCUGUACUCAGACAUGAUAGCUUCUGCUUGUGCUUUGCCUUGUAUGCUCUGAAUGUUGGGUCAUGAGACCCAUGUUUGUAAUAUCUCGCUCCUAGGAGCCUAUUGAAUGAAAUACUUGAGUUGUAGAGUCAUGUUGUGAUGCCAUGUUGUAUCUGCACAUAUCGAGCAUAUUGUGUGUAUGUUAUUGAAAUGCUUGGUAUGUGUGGGAUCUGACUAUCUAGUUGUUUAUCCUUAGUAGCCUCUCUUACCGGGAAAUGUCUCCUAGUGUUUCCACUGAGCCAUGGUAGCUUGCUACUGCUCCGGAACACUUAGGCUGGCCGGCAUGUGUCCUUCUUCGUUCAUGUGUCUGUCCCUUCGGGGAAAUGUCACGCGAUGAAUACCGGAGUCCUGUUAGCCCGCUACAGCCCGGUUCACCGGAGUCCUGCUAGCCCAGUGCUACAGCCUGGAUUCACUCGCUGAUGACCGACACGUUCGAUGCUGGGUCAUGGAUGCCUGUCCCUGUAAGUUAGUGCCACUUUGGGUUCACGACUAGCCAUGUCAGCCCGGGUUCUUUGUCAUAUGGAUGCUAGCGACACUAUCAUAUACGUGAGCCAAAAGGCGCAAACGGUACCGGGCCAGGUAAGGUGGCACCCGUGGGAAUACCGUGCGUGAGGCCGCAAAGUGAUAUGAUGUGUUACAUGCUAGAUCGGUGUGACUUAGGAUCGGGGUCCUGACAAACAAGUAGCACGCCUGCACCGGCGCCUUGCAGUGAGAAGGCACCAUCAAAGUACAUCAGCCACUCUUUGCUUGCUUCCUUGACGGGGAUGCUUGUUUCUGGAAUUUCUUCAUCUUGUGUUGGCGUCCACUCUGCUAUGAACUCUGCCAAUGCCCUGCUUUGGAUAGUUGAAGUGCUCUCAAACUUGAGGCCAAAGCUUGACAGUUUCAGUGCCCACUCGACAAUCCUGCCUGUUGCUUCUGGAUUUUGCAGUAUCCUCUUCAUCAGAAAACGAGUGACGAUUGUGAUCUCAUGUGCUUGGAAGUAAUGGCGCAGCUUUCUCGAGGCCAUGAGAAGGCCGAAAAGCAAUUUCUGCACACCAGAGUACCUUGACCUAGCCCCCUGCAGAAGGGAACUGACAAAGUAAACUGGGCGCUGCACCAUUCUCUUCUGUAUCUCCUCACGCGCCUGCGCAGAUCCAUCUUUGUCGGGACCAGAGCUUGUCGGUGAAGUCCCCUGCUUGUCGCUGGAUGCAUCUGCCGUGGUUGCUGGCUCAUCAUCCGCCUCCCUCUCCGCCACUAACACAACACUAACCACUUGAUUGGUUGCCGCUAUAUAUAGCAGCAACUUCUCUUGUGGCCUAGGUGCGACAAGUGUUGGAGUGGAGGACAGGUACCUCUUUAAGUCCUGCAGCGCAGCCUCCGCUUCUGGAGUCCAUUUCAUUAGACCUGCCUUUUUCAAUAUUUUGAAAAAUGGCAGGGCGCGCUCAGCAGACCUAGAAAUAAACCUGCUCAGAGCAGCCACGCAACCGGCAAGUCUUCGUACAUCCUUGACGCGCUUUGGUGCUUCAAUCUGCUCAAUGGCCUUGAUCUUGUCGGGAUUGGCUUCAAUUCCCCGCUGAGACACGAAGAACCCGAGAAGCUUGCCGGAGGGGACUCCAAACACACACUUCUCGGGGUUAAGCUUGAGGUUGAUCUUGCGCAGGUUUGCAAAGGUUUCGUCUAAAUCUUGAAUCAGAGUCGCCUUGUCCUUGCUCUUGACCACUAUGUCAUCCAUGUAGGCUUCCACAUUUCUGUGUACUUGUGGCUCAAAAGCGUCAUGGACUACCCUUGCAAAUGUUGAACCAGCAUUCUUUAAACUGAAAGGCAUCCGUAUGAAAUAGUAUGUGCCACAUGGGGUGAUGAAUGCGGUCUUCUCCUCAUCCUCUUCUGCCAUGAAGAUCUGAUGGUAUCCUGAGUAUGCAUCAAGAAAUGAAAGCAAGUCACAUCCGGCCAUGGAGUCAACAAUCUGGUCGAUGCGCGGCAAGGGAAAUGGGUCUUUGGGACAAGCUUUAUUGACAUCGCUAAAGUCGAUACAAAGCCUCCAUUUCCCGUUUGCCUUGCGCACGACUACAGGAUUGGCCAACCACGUAGGAUGGAGCACUCCUCUGACAAGGCCUGCUGCUUCCAAUUUCUUGAUUUCUUCUGCGAUGAAUUCUUGGCGCUCCACUGCCUGUUUCCUGACUUUCUGCUUGACGGGCCACGCAUGAGGGCAGACGGCAAGAUGGUGCUCGAUUACUUUCUUGGGAACACCGGGGAUGUCAGACGGUUGCCACGCAAACACGUCGACGUUCGCCCACAGGAAAGCAACGAGCGCGGUUUCCUAUUUAGGGUCGAGAGUGGCACUGAUGGUGAAGGUACCACCAGUGCCGUCCUCCUUGGCGGACACCUUCUUGGUCUCUGGUGGUGCUGCCAUUGUCUUCUUACACAUGCCGGUGGAGCUCGAUGGUGCGUCCUCGACGGUAGCGCAGCACUCCGAAGAGGUGCGCUUGCCGGAGUGGGCAUCAGAACUCUUGCCAGACUUGGUCUUCUUCUUCCCCCCGGGAGCUUCAAUGGCAAGUGACUUGCAAUUUGUUGCGGCUGGUGGUUCCCGGUAGAUCUUGUCGGCGCAGAUAAGGGCAUCCUUCUUGUCGCCAGGGACAGAGAUGACACUUAUCGGGCCUGGCAUCUUCAGCAUGUUGUAUGCAUAGUGAGAGGCUGCCAUGAAUUUGGCGAGUGCUGGACGGCCGAGUAUCCCAUUGUAAGGCAAUGGAAAGUCAGCAACGUCAAAAGUGACCCUCUCAGUCCUGAAGUUCAACUCGCUGCCAAAUGUCACCGGCAACGUGAUCUUUCCCUUCAGCUUGCUCCUUCCCGGAUUGAUUCCUUGGAAUGUGCCGGUCUCUUCGAGCUCGCUAUCAGGGAUCUGGAGUUUCUGGAGUACCGCGGAGGAGAUCAGGUUCAAGCCGGCCCCGCCGUCAACUAGCAUCUUAGUGACCUUGAGGUUGCGGAUAGUUGGUGAAACCAACAUCGGCAAGCACCCGACCGCAGUUAUGCGAUCAGGGUGGUCCUCAAUAUCAAAGAUGAUAGGCGUGCUGGACCAUUUCAGAGGCUUGCGUGACUCGACGGGUGGUUCUGCCGCAUUGACUUCCCGCACCCACUGCUUGAGCUGGCGGUGUGAAGUAUGCAGAGAAGCACCGCCGUCAAUGCACAGGACCUCUGUGGCUUUCUAGAACUCCUGCUCAUCGGUCUCGUCAUCAUCCAUAUCUUCAUCGUCGUCGUCAUCUUCAUCCUUGUCGCGGCCGCGGGGAGGUCUGUCUCCUUGCCGCUGCUUGGCCUUGUCGCGGCGUCCUCCUCGGCCGGGAUGUUUCUUGCCGGCUCCUCCAGCACCUUCCUGGGCCUUCUCCUUAUCGCGUCGCUCGUAUUCAGCCUUUUGCUACUCGACAAGCUGCUCGACCUUCUUUCAGCUCUGGAGGUCAUGGCCCUUGGUGCGGUGGAUCUUGCAGUACUGCUUGUUGGUGCCGUCCUACUUGUCAGCGACCGCCACAGCCUGGUAGUUGGUGCCUGUGGCAAUCUCCUUGCCGAAGCUACCGGCUUUGGCUUUCUUGGCGCCACCUCCAUUGCCGGACUGCUCAACGACUAGCACAUCUUUGCCUUUCUUCUUCUUGUUGUUCUGCCGCCGGUUUUUCUUUGCCGGGGCAGCAUCCUCACUAUCAGAUCCUCCUGCUCCUGUAUUCUCUCUGGGGAGUUUCCUCCCUUCCUCAGCACGUGCACACUUGUCGGCCAGGGCAUAUAGCUCACUGACGUCUCUGAUCUUGCACAUCGCCAUCUCCUCCCGCAUCCUGCGGUUUCGCACGUUCUAAUGGAACGCGCUGAUUACCGCGGCAGGGUGGACAUCUGGGAUGUUGUGCUGUACGCGGCUGAAUCUCUGAAUAUACUUGCGCAGGGGCUCUCCUUCCUUCUGGGCGAGCAGAUGAAGGUCGUUCUCUUGGCCAUGAGGCUUGUGGCCGCCUGUAAAGGCGCCGACAAACUGAUGGCAUAGGUCUGCCCAGGAGGAUAUGGAGUUGUCCGGCAAGUGCAUGAGCCAGGAUCUGACAUUGGGCUUGAGCACCAGCGGGAAGUAGUUGGCAAGGAUCUUGUCGUCCCGCCCCCGGCAUCUUGCACCGCGAUGGUGUAGAUGCUGAGGAACUCCGACGGAUGCGACUUGCCGUCGUACUUCUCUGGUACAUCUGGCUUGAAAUUUUUCGUGCUGGGCCACUGGACUUGCCGCAGCUCACGAGUGAACGCAGGACAACCUACCGCGUACGGCAAGUCGCCUGGUUCCCCUGGUGCAUGCAUGUCGACAAAGGGCCCAGCGUGCUGGUCCGAUUGACGUCGCACUUCUCUUUGGCGCUCGAUGCGAGUACGAGCGUCUUCUUGCUGUCGUUCGUGAAGAACUUGGCGCUGAUCGCGACGAGCUUGUGGAUCUGAUGACGCGGUGGAGUCGCUGUCGAGGUGGAUCCGGCGAGUCGGCGAUCUUGGCCUUCGGGGUGGAGAGUGCAUGGUGGUUGCACCCCCACCAGUUUCGUCGCCAUCGGCUCGCGCCUGGCAGUCCUGCCGCGACAGCGAUGUACUCGGCUGCCGCGGAGUGUCGCCGUUGGCGAAGCCGAUGAGACUCUGAAUGGUGGCCCUCCAUUCGUCGAUCUUGUCUGUCGUUGGAGGGUAAUCCAGGAGCAGUUGAGCUCGCGCCAAAGCUUCUGCUGGAGUGGUGGGCGGCAGUGGCGAACGGUGCGAGGAGCGGGAUAUGCUCGGACUUCUAACUAUGUUAGAAGGAGCAGUAUCCCGUCCAGGCGACCGUGUCUCGCUCGUGCCAGCAUGUUGGCGUGCAUGCUGGUCUUGAGCAUUCCGAGAUCCACCAGCUCGAUCUUGGUCCAACGAACGUAUGGUACUGCGAAUACCAUGACGCAGUCGGUCCCGUGCCUCUUGAGAUGGGCGUGGUGCAUGUACGGACGCCGAGGUCUGCGCAGCCUUGUCCUUGGACCUGGCAGCACCGUGAGCUCCCUCGUCGACGCCCGUUCUUCCGCCGGCGUCUACCCCACCACCCGUCUGCUCCGGUGGUGGUGGGGUCGACGCGGACGGAACAGCCGCUUCCGAAGCCUUCUUCUUCGGCGACAUGUCGAUGAAAAAGAUGAAGAUCUAGCUCGUGUGAACGCCGGAUCAGGUUCACACAACCUCGAUGCCCCCUACCUGGCGCGCCAAAGAUGUCGGGGAAGCUGAUCCACGAACACCUAUGGGACCGGCGGACCAAGCCCCUUUCGGUUCGGCGGGGGGUGGAGAUCGCACGAAGAGCGGAUCGAGGCGAAGCACACGAGCAGUUUACCCAGCUUCGGAGCUCUCUGGAGAGAUAACACUCCUACUGCUGCAUGUCUGAGUGUAUUGAGUUCUUGUUCGGGAGCGCUAAGUGCUACAGUACACACGAGCUGCUAAUGAGACCGAGGUGAGUGUUUUUCUGCCUUCGAACCCCCCUCAACGUUGCGCAUGGGCCUCCUUUUAUAUGCUAAAGGGGUCACCGACAGGUGGCAACAUAGACAAGGAUAAAAAUGGAAAAGGAAUUGCGGUUGGUACAACUACCUGUACAAUGUAUCAUACCUAACCCUGACGGCAGGGGACAAAGGUAUUAAAUGCCCGUCUGCGUCGCCCAAAUAGUGCAGAAAGGGACCGUCAGGGACGCCACCGCUUGCCACGAUGGCAAUCUUGUCAGCGCCGCUUGCCACCGCACAGCGCUGGCUGCACAGCCUCUCGCCACGCGUGCCUGGAAAGGCCCCAGGGCGACACGUUGGUGGAUGUGCUGGAGCGCGGGUACAGAGUGGUAGCUGGCCGCGGCAAGCGCUUUGCCGCGGUCGUUGUCUUGUCGCGUCCGGAAGCUUGUCGCUCACCGGGCCUUGCCGAGACGCGUGGCGCGUCGCGGCAAGUUCCUUGAGAUGCCUUGGUUGGCCUUCCCGGCAAGCUCCUCUUGCCAGGGCCUUGUCUCCUUGGCUUGAAUACUUUGUUCUAGAAUGGCUCCAAAGGAACCGCGGAGGACCUUGGCGGUCACCCGACAAGCCUUGCCGCGGGGUGCUGCGACUGCCCGUGCACAAGUUCGGGAUACUAGGGUACCCCUACUCUAGUACACCGACAAAUUACGUCCUGGAAGCACCACUGGGUGCCAGGCCUGCUGCUGAUUCAACUGACGACGUUAAGAACGUCUGGCAGAGCAAAGCUGAUGACUACUCGAUAGUUCAGUGUGCCAUGCUUUACAGCUUAGAACCUGGUCUUCAACGACGUUUUGAAAGUCAUGGAGCAUAUGAGAUGUUCCAGGAGUUGAAGUUAAUAUUUCAAGAAAAUGCCCGGAUUGAGAGAUAUGAAGUCUCCAAUAAGUUCUAUAGCUGCAAGAUGGAGGAGGAUAGUUCUAUCAGUGAACACAUACUCAAAAUGUCUGGGUAUAAUAAUCAGUUGAUUCAACUAGGAGUUAAUCUUCCUGAUGAUAGUGUCAUUGACAGAAUUCUUCAAUCACUGCCACCAAGCUACAAGAGCUUCGUGAUGAACUAUAAUAUGCAAGGGAUGGACAAGACUAUUCCCGAGCUCUUCGCAAUGCUAAAAGCUGCGGAGGUAGAAAUCAAGAAGGAGCAUCAAGUAUUGAUGGUCAACAAGACCACCAGUUUCAAGAAAAAGGGCAAAGGAAAGAAGAAGGGGAACUUCAAGAAGAACAGCAAACAAGUUGCUGCUCAAGAGAAGAAACCCAAGUCUGGUCCUAAGCCUGAGACUGAGUGCUUCUACUGCAAACAGACUGGACACUGGAAGCGGAACUGCCCUAAGUAUUUGGCGGAUAAGAAGGAUGGCAAAGUGAACAAAGGUAUAUGUGAUAUACAUGUUAUUGAUGUGUACCUUACUAAUGCUCGCAGUAGUACCUGGGUAUUUGAUACUGGUUCUGUUGCUAAUAUUUGCAAUGUCGGGUUUCGGGUUCCGGCAGACCCUUGAGAUUUGAACACUGGGGUGUGCGCGGAGAUUUCGCCCUCUAUCUACCUGCUCCUCACCGAAUCGCUAGGAUCUAAACUACAGAAGAAACAACAAAGAGGCACGGGGUUUAUACUGGUUCAGGCCACCGUUGUGGUGUAAUACCCUACUCCACUGUGUUGUGUGGCGGAUUGCCUCUUGGGCUGAUGAUGAACAAUACAAGGAAGAACAGCCUCGCGAGGGUCUGUUCUUGACUGGUGUGACGAACUGGUAGGAGGAGUUCAGUCGCUCUAUCUACUGGUUUCUUGGUGUGGAUCCAGAUGCCUCUACCCUGGGGGUGGCUAGUCCUAUUUAUAGGCAAAGGCCCUGGGCCUCUCCCCAAAUAUUGAGCAGGAAGGGCGCCAACAAUUGGCCAUUUUGAAGGGGAACAGCGAGUACACCUAUCCUGACUAAAGUUGGUCCGCGCCUGCCAAAGGCUCUGGUGGUGACGCCUGCUUGGGCUCCACAAUGACUUCCUUCCUGCCGUUGGGCUGGUCUUGGUCUUGUUUCACCGAAACGGAUGUCUUUGCUUGAUGCUCUCGCCUGCGCUUGCUCCCUUUGCACCAAAGUGGAAAGGAGGACACUGCGCGGGCUGGCGCCCGACUGGCGCCCUUGGUCGUCAUGGCUUGCGUCAUGGGCACCUCGCAAGGUACCCCGCCUUGAACUCUCCGCCUCCUCGUGAGCCCACCUGAUGAGGCCGUGCCUGAGGAAGCUCCUUGUCGUCCGCCCCGCGAGGCUUGACCCCUCGCGAGGGUCUUGAGCUCGUGUUGAUGAAGAUGGGCCGCGCUGGGCCCCCUUUGAGCCACGCCGCAGGCCGCAGGCAGGCAAGUCUAGGGACCCCCGUUCCCAGAACGCCGACAGUAGCCCCCGGGCCCACGGCGCGCCCGGACUUGGCCGAGCAGAGAGGCGAAAGGGCAAGUGCGAAGCGUCGCGGGCCCUAACAACCUGCGGCCUUGGGCACCGCGUGGCGGUUGAUUGGACGUGGGCGCCUCAGCAACCGCGCAAGUUGAUAAAGGAGCGGCGUCUGUCCCUUGCCUUCUUUGCUUUCUCCAGUUGCUGCUCAGAUCCCCUUUCUUGCGCCUCUCCUCCCCACCUCCGAAACCUUCAGAUCUACUCCGUCUGCGCGCCCUAGCCAGACAUGGCACCUCGCCAAGCCCCGGCCGGAGCUUGGUAUUCGUCCACCUUGGACUCGCCGAACGUGUCGGAGGCGAGCCUUGCCCGGGUGCGCCAGAUGGCGACGGCGCAGGGCAUCGACGGGGCGAAGGUGUUCAAGGCCGGCUCUGCCCUCCCUGAAGGCCAAGGAAGCACCUUCUAUCCGCUCUUCGUGAGCGCCAUUGUCGCCGGUCUGGUGCCUCCCUUUUCUGAGUUCUUCUUCUCUGUCCUCCACCACUAUAACCUUCAAGCUCUGCAGCUUCAUCCCAACUCUUUCCUUCUCCUGGCAAUCUUCGCCUAUUAUUGUGAGGCUCAUGUAGGGGUGAAGCCCUCAGUGGCCUUGCUGCGCCACUACUUCUCCCUCCGGACCUCUCGUGGUUCCGUCUCUACGCGUGCGAGCUUCGUCGCGUAUGGCAGCUCCAUCGCCAUUUCGAACCCUGGGAAAAGGAUCGAGGGCUUCAGGAGCAAGUGGGUCUUGGUGGAUGCUGGGCGCAUCCACCCUCAGCUGAUCCUGCCCACGGGGCACCCCGCGAGCUCCGACGACUGGUCCCGAGUGGAGCUUGUGGAUCCCCGCACGAAGCCGGUGUUGGAGAAGAUGGACGCGGAUCUGAGGCCGGACAGCAUGGCGGCGGCGAAGCUGACUGGUGCAUCGCUGCUGAGGGAGUUCCUGGAGCACCAGCUGGCUCCGCUUCAUCAGUACUCACUUCCGAUGUGGAGGCCCCACCCGAGUCCCGCAGUCUUGGCCGAUGAGGAUCUGGCUGCGGUUCUCCAGUCUUUGGUUGGGGGCGACGUGGCGAGGUUGGAGGGCGCUCCUACGCCCUUGUUCCUCCGCGAGGACUGGGAGCAGGUAGUGGGGUGCAUGCCCGCCUUCAAUGGGGACGGGCCCGUGCCCGCGGAGGCUCCCGAGGACCCGGUGGACGUGUCUUCCGGCGACUCCAGUGAAGAGAAGGAAGGAGGGGAGCGGGAAGAGGGGGCUGACUCCGAGGCAGAGUCAAGGGCUCCCCCCCUCCGGCGCAGGUCCCGCGCCCUCCGCCUCUCUCUGAGUGAUGACGACGAGGAUGAUGGCGAGCAGGGCGGCGGGAGCCUGCCCCCGAUCCCGAAGAAGGACCGGACCGGGCUGAUCCCCCGCGGGUCUGCCCCAGCCCCGAAGCGAUCCGCAGGCGCGCCUCCUGCUCCCGAGCUCCUUGAGGCUGACCCUUGCAGCCGGCUCUCGGGCUUCAAGUACGGCCGGAGGCUGCUCGAGCCCGCAAGCGACGACUUGUAAGUGUUUGAUUCCUGUCUUGUUUAUUGUUUUGUUGCUGAGGCUUGACGCUCGUAUCUCCCGGCUAGGCUGGCGCCCGCGGCAAAGAAGUCGAAUGGAGCUCCUGAGGUUCCAUCCGUGGCAGCGCCUCUGCCCGUGAAAGCAGGUGACCAUGACGCACGGGCCUCUCCUGCCCGUGCGUCCUCGCAAGGCCUGGCUGAGCCGGCUGGGGCGAGAGGAGCCCCCAUGGCCCAAGCGACUCCCGAGGUGCCCUUGCCUGAUGCCGCCACCACAGCCGUCGUGGCGCAGCAGGUUCCACCUCAGGAUAUCGUGAUUACGCUGCCGUCUUCUCCUCCUACUCCUCCGACUGCUGCUUCCCCGACCACUGUUCUGGAUCGCGCUAUUGCCAAACUGGACCGUCUGCGGCAGGAUCUUCUGGGCGCUGACCCUCGUCUAGUGGCCGGGCGCUUGGAGCUAGCUUCUGGCUGGAUUUGCUCCGAUGCUUCAAUUCGGGCGGCGCUGGUCCAGGCCUCGACGGCUUACGACGAGGAGAAGCAGGCCGUCCUUGGGGCGAAGGUUGCCCGCGACGCCGCCUUGGGGGAGGUGGCUAGCGUCCGAGGUCGCUGCGAGGCGCUGGAGAGCGAGCUGAAGGGCCUGCAAGGCCAGCUCGCCGAGGAGACCCGCCUUCGCCAAGAGCAGGAGGAAAGCAUGAAGGCUCGCGAGGCGGCUGUCAAGGACCGGGACGCCAAGCUCAAGAAGUGCCGUGAUCGCCUGGGCGCACUGGAGCAGGAGCUGGAGGCGAGGAAGGUUGAGCUGGAUGACAAGGCACGGGUCCUUGCCGAGGAUCGUGUGGCCUUUGCGGAGAUGGAGGAGAAGGCUCGCACUUCAUUGAAGAUGCUUUACGAGAGCGGCCUGGAAAGCCCGCUGGCCAGCGAGGAGGAUGGCCCCGCCAAGCUGCUUCUCUUCCUGGUUCGUGCUCUUGAAGAUGUCACCCUUGGCCUUGGCCCUACGGCUGAGGCCGAGGCGCGCGUCUUGUCUUCUGUAGCGCUGACGCCGGUCUUCACCCACAUCUAUCUUUGUGACCCCAACGUCGACCUCGACAGCCUGCUGGAACCAGCGAGCGGCGAGCUUGCCGCUGCCGCUACUGAGGCCGUGAAGGGUCGUGCGGAGGCUCUGUUGGGGAAGUUCCGGGCCUUCAGCACUAAGCCGAAGCGGAGCAUUGCUGGCCCUGCUGCUCCACAAGGCGAACCCGCUCCACGCAGCUCCACUGCCGGUAAGUGACUCUGUCAUGGCUCCCGUCCUGCUUUUAAUUCCUGCACAUGUACCAUGCCUCAGAGAGGCGUUAAAACUUGCAUUUGGUGCUGAGAUAAUAGUAUGGACUGUAAUAUUUGCUUUUGAAUUCCCUAAACUUUGCGCUAUUCCUUCCUACUUGCAUAUGUUCUACGCCGGCAGAGCCCGGCCCCGCGCAUACCUCAGCCGUCGUUAGCCCCGACCAGAAACCAGGACGGGGCCAAGGGGUGAGGGGCUACGUGACAAGUUAGGCUCCUGAGUCGCGAUGCUCAGGAGUCCCCCUUGGCGCUUGAACAACAAGUAGGGAGGUGAGAUGUGGGGGUGACUCCUUAGGGAGGUGAGAUGCGGGUGGAUCUACCGUUCUACGUCUACAGAGCCCGGCCCCGCACAUACCUCAACCGUCGUUAGCCUUUCAGAACUAAGGAGUGAGGGGCUACGUGACCAGUUAGGCUCCUGAGUCGCGAUGCUCAGGAGUCCCCCUUGACGCUCAAACGGCCUUCGUACCUUGGCUCCGCUCGGGGAGGGACGUGCGACGAACUAGGCCCGGGGGGCCUGGCUGGGUGGCGUGCGUCUGGGCGUAACCCAGGCAUAGCCCCCGUGCCCAGCCCCCUUGCGCGGCACUCCUGAGGGGAGGCGUUGCGAUGGGGCUAGACAUUGAGGACUGGGCUCCUUGAGGUUGAUGCGGCCCGGGGGCCACCCUCAGUUGUUUAUCACCAGCGCGGAUCAUAGCGCUUCUGUAUGUGUACGGGCAUAGCCGCUCCUCGGCAGUGUCGUCAGCCUGCAUGGAGCAUGGUGCUUCCACUGGUACGUGGGAGGGGGGCCCCUCCGGGAGGAGCCCCCGGGGCGUGUACAGCUUCGCCCUGACACGUGGCUGGCACGGUAGGGCUUGACGAGGUGUAUCUGGGCACCCGUGAGCCAGCGCGGGACUCACGGGGCCCUACCUCAAGGCGGGUUGCGCCUGGCUCUGGACCUUAUCUUGGAGUAUGUUCCUGCAAAUUUGGCUAGAUGCCGGUGCUCUACGUCCUCGGGUCCCGGCCCUCGAGCUGGUCUCAGCCGUCGGUGGCAUGCCAGGUCGCGAUGCCAUGGACAAGACCAGAGGGUGAGGGCUGGAGAGCCGGUAGGAGCCCUGAGUUGCGAUGCUCAGGCACCCCCCUUUAACGCGCAAGCUGGGUUAGAUGUCGAAACUCUACGUCCUCGGGUCCCGGCCCUCGAGCUGGUCUCAGCCGUCGCUGGCAUGCCAGGUCGCGAUGCCAUGGACAAGACCAGAGGGUGAGGGUUGGAGAGCCGGUAGGAGCCCUGAGUCGCGAUGCUCAGGAACCCCCCCUUUAACGUGCAAGCUGGGUUAGAUGUCGAAACUCUAUGUCCUCGGGUCCCGGCCCUCGAGCUGGUCUCAGUCGUCGCUAGCAUGCCAGGUCGCGAUGCCAUGGACAAGACCAGAGGGUGAGGGCUGGAGAGCCGGUAGGAGCCCUGAGUCGCGAUGCUCAGGCACCCCCCCUUUAACGCACAAGCUUGCGACAUCCAAGAAGAAAAGGUGCCAAGGACAGGCGCCAAAUAACAAGCAUGAUGGGUUGAAAGCAUGGCCCUAAGAUAAACGCAAGAAGGGUACACGCCGCUGGGUCAGACCCGAGCAACUUGGGGAUGAUGCAGCCCAAGGGGGCGCCCCCAAUAAGGUAAGCUAAGAACAUGAAAUAAAAGGGAUACAAGCUGCAGGGAUGGACCCAUGCGGCCUGGGAAUAAUGCGGCCCUGAGGCGCUCCCAGCUGGAAAUGAAACUCGAAAGAUGUCACUUGAUGAUGUUGGGGAUGAAGGGGUGUUGGUGUAGCAGACUCGAUGGGCUGCGGGAGCCGAUUCUCAUGAGCCCCCAGGCCCAGUGGCCUCGGGAGGCCCCGGAGGCGCUGGUGGCUCCUCACGGACCAUCUCCAUCUCCGCCAGGGCUGCGGCGCGCCUGACCUCUUGAGCCUCCAGGAUGGCCCUCAUGAGGCGCUGGUACGCGGCAGCUGCUUUCGGCAAGCCAUAAGGCAUGCGAACGUAGCUGUGGGGCGGACCCUCGCAGCGUCCCACUUGCGAGGGCCAGAGGUGCUCCUGAGACGCGGCUUGGUUGAGCCCUGGUAUGUCGAUGCAGACGCGUAGCCCACCAUCCUCGCCUGGAUGGUGGGCCACAGCGGGUAGGCGGCGGCUGCCUCUCAUGACUCUUGACUCCUGUAGCUCCUGAAUGGCCUUGCUGGCGAACUCCUGAGGGUUUGGCCCUCCUUGCCUUGCUCCUUCUUGAGGGAAUCGUGCUUCGAAACACGCCUCCACGUGGUGCCCAAGCGCCUCCCUCGUGACUUUGGCGAGGUCGGCGGCCCUCCAGGGGAGAGCCCCCAAGCCCUGCCUGAGGAGGGCGCCGGGCGCGCUUCCCUAUGCGAUGGAAGGAGGUUCCCCCUGAGCAGGCGCGGGCCCUGAGGGGCCUGCCUCCUGAGGGGCCAGGCCGGACGAUGUCUUCUUCUUCUUGGGGGCGGCCUCGGGAAGCCUCCUGCUUCCGCGAUCCGGGUCUUCCAGUGAUGCGUCCUGAAAGGCUCGCUCCAGGGAGCACACUGCGUCUCUCUCUUCGCAGGGCACCGUAAUGACUCCGCCACUUCCUGGCAUCUUGAGGACGUUGUAACCGUGGUGGGUUACAGCCAUGAACUUGGCCAGCGCUGGGUACCCGAGGAUGGCGUUGUACGGCAGGCGAAUGUGGGCGACGUCGAAGUCGAUGAGCUCGGUGCGGUAGUUGUCGCGUGCCCCGAAGGUGACAGGGAGGCGGACCUGCCCGAUUGGGACCGUGGAGCCGUCGGUGACUCUGGAGAAAGCUUGGUUGGCUGAAGUUUAUUGUAGGGUACUUGGAGAUUGUUGAACGUUUCCACGGACAGGACGUUGAGCCCUGCCCCGCCAUCGAUGAGGGUCCUGGUGAACAGCACGUUGCUGAUGAUUGGGGAGCAAAGCAUCAGGAGGACUCCAGCCGUGGCCGCGCACUUGAGCUGGUCCGCUGAGCUGAACAUGAUGGUGCACGCCGACCACUUGAGAGGGCGCGUGGCCUCGAGCUUGGGGAGGACUGCAUUCACUUCACGGGUGAACUGUUUGAAGAUGCGCUAAGAGGCUGGGGCUUGGGCUCCACCCAGGAUGCAAGCGAUUGCACGUGGUUCUUCGAAGCCCCCAGCCCCCUCGUCCUGAUGACGGUCUUCAUUUCUUCUUGGCUGCAGCGGCAGCGGAGGAAUGCCUGCAUUACCUUGCGGGCGAUCCUCGCGAGGCUAAUCCCUCCAGCCUCCCUCGCGAGGCGGGUCCUGCUAGUGAUCCUCGCGAGGUUGGUUGCGCCACCCUUGGCGCGGGCCGCGGUCUUCCCAUUGUCCUGCAUUCCUUCCUCCUCCUCGGCCGUAGCCCCGGUCGCUACGGUCGGGACGUCAGCCGACCCUUCCUUCACGCACGGCCCGGAGCUCUUGGCAUUCAUUGGUGUUGUGGGUGUGGAGGUCGUGGUACACGCAAUACCGGCUGCCCUUGGAGGGUUCGGGCUGAUCUCUGCCCCGCUUGGUGACUGGCUCUGCCGCAAGCACGGCAGCCCCCUUGCGCUUCACAUCCUUGGCCUUGGGCUUCUUCUCUUCUGGGUCUGCGGCAGGCAGCUCGAGGAAGGAGAGGUGCCCCUCCUCGGCCCUGGCGCACUUGGUCGCCAAGUUGAACAGCUCCAAGGAGGUGCACAGGUCUUGAUGCAUCGCCAGCUCCUCCUUCAUCUUGACGUCGCGCACGCCGUCGGAGAAGGCCGAGAUGAUGGCCUCCUCGGUCACCUUGGGGAUCAUGAGGCGCGCAUUGUUAAAGCACUGGAUGUACUUCUGCAGGGUUUCCCCUGGUUGCUGCUUGAUAUGGCGCAUGUCACUCAUGGCGGGUGGCUGGUCGCGAGUACCCUGGAAGUUGGCAAUGAAGCGGGUGCGCAUCUCGUUCCAGGAGGAGAUCGUGCCUGGAGCCAGAUUCUGGAGCCAGGUGCGGGCCCCGUCCUUGAGCGCCAUGGGAAACCAGUUCGCCAUGACCUUCUCGUCUCCGUUGGCGGCCUCGAUGCCCAGCUCGUAGAGCUGGAGGAACUCUGCAGGGUUAGCCGUGUCGUCGUAGCGAGGAGGCAGGUCUGGCUUGAACUUGCCGGGCCACGCGACGCUGCGUAGCCAGGGGGUGAAGGUGCGGCAGCCCGCUAUGGCCACAGGAGGCCUUGGGCGACGAAGAGCUUGGUCCUGUGGGUCCUCAUGCGCUGCAGCUGGGAGCAGUGCGGGGUCUUGACGUGCCGGAGCAGGGAGAGCUCGAGCAGCUUCUCGAGGGCAUGGGACUUCUUGGCAGCUCUGCUCCUGCCGCGCUAGCGCCUGACGAAGUGGGUUCCGCUCAGGGGCCGCGCACCUUGGGGCCAGGGCGCCUUCUCGAGGGGGAGGCGGCUGAGGCGCCCCAAGAGCUUCAUUGCCCGCGCAGGGCGGGACGCGGUGCAGCGAGAAGGAUGGCGUGGGGGAGCCCCCAGCGACACGGACGAGCUCGGCGACUCGGUCGAGCCACUCUUCGUAAACGUCGUCAAUUGGGCGGUAGCGCAGGAGCUCGUUUGCCGCGAUGAGCGCAGCUCGAGCCUCCAUGGCCGCGCGGGGCGCGCGGGACGAAGAACCAGCAGGGGUGAGCGAGGGUGUAGCAGUGCGGCCGUCUCGCCUCAUGGAUGGGUGUUGGGACGAUGCUUGCUGCUCGUUCCCCGCCGGGCCGGUGGCAGCAUUGACGGCAGGCGACGGGGAACGAUGGGGGCGCCCGCCGACGGGGGCCGUCUGGGCGAUGCAGGAAGCGAGGGCGGCUCGGUGCUCGGCGCGGGCCCGGCAAGUGUCAGACAUGGAUGCGACGGUCAGAGAAGAACAGGGCGACGGGAAACGAAUUCCGGCGCACCCCUACCUGGCGCGCCAAUUGUCGGAUUUAGUGUUCCGGCAGACCCUUGAGAUUCGAACACUGGGGUGCGCGCGGAGAUUUCGCCCUCUAUCAACCUGCUCCUCGCGAAAUCGCUAGGAUCUAAACUACAGAAGAAACAACACAAGAGACACGGGGUUUAUACUAGUUCAGGCCACCAUUGUGGUGUAAUACCAUACUCUAGUUUGUGGUGUGGUGGAUUGCCUCUUGGGCUGAUGAUGAACAAUACAAGGAAGACCAGCCUCACGAGGGUCUGUUCUUGACUAGUGCGACGAACUGCUAGGAGGAGUUCAGGUGCUCUAUCUACUGGUUUCUUAGUGUGGAUCCAGAUGCCUCUACCCUGGGGGUGGCUAGUCCUAUUUAUAGGCAAAGGCCCUGGGCCUCUCCCCAAAUAUUGAGCGGGAAGGGCGCCAACAAUUGGCCAUUUUGAAGGGGAAUAGCGGGUACACCUAUCCUGAUAAAAGUUGGUCCGCGCCUGCCAAAGGCUCUGGUGGUGACACCUGCUUGGGCUCCACAAUGACUUCCUUCCUGCCGUUGGGCUGGUCUUAGUCUUGUUGCACCAAAACGGAUGCCUUUGCUUGAUGCUCUCGCCUACGCUUGCUCCCUUUGCACCAAAGAGGAAAGGAGGACACUGCGCGGGCUGGCGCCCGACUGGCGUCCUUGGUCGUCAUGGCUUGUGUCAUGGGCACCUCGCGAGGUACCCCGCCUUGAACUCUCCGCCUCCUCGUGAGCCCACCUGAUGAGGUCGUGCCUGAGGAAGCUCCUUGUCAUCCGCCCCGCGAGGCUUGAACCCUCGCGAGGGUCUUGAACUUGUGUUGAUGAAGAUGGGCCACUCUGGGCCCCCUUUGAGACACGCUGCAGGCCGCAGGCAGGCAAGUCUGGGGACCCCCGUUCCUAGAACGCCGACAUGCAACUCGAAACAGGGACUACAGAUUAAGCGAAGAUUGGCUAAGGACGAGGUGAUGAUGCACGUGGGAAAUGGUUCCAAAGUCGAUGUGAUUGCGGUCGGCACGCUACCUCUACAUCUACCAUCGGGAUUAGUUUUAGACCUAAAUAAUUGUUAUUUGGUGCCAGCGUUGAGCAUGAACAUUAUAUCUGGAUCUUGUUUGAUGCGAGACGGUUAUUCAUUUAAAUCAGAGAAUAAUGGUUGUUCUAUUUAUAUGAGUAAUAUCUUUUAUGGUCAUGCACCCUUGAAGAGUGGUCUAUUUUUAUUGAAUCUCGAUAGUAGUGAUACACAUAUUCAUAGUGUUGAAGCCAAAAGAUGCAGAGUUGAUAAUGAUAGUGCAACUUAUUUGUGGCACUGCCGUUUAGGUCAUAUCGAUAUAAAGUGAAUGAAGAAACUCCAUACUGAUGGACUUUUGGAAUCACUUGAUUACGAAUCACUUGGUACUUGCAAACCAUGCCUCAUGGGCAAGAUGACUAAAACAUUGUUCUCCGGAACAAUGGAGCGAGCAACAGAUUUAUUGGAAAUCAUACAUACUUAUGUAUGUGGUCUAAUGACUGUUGAGGCUCGCGGUGGGUAUCGUUAUUUUCUCACCUUCACAGAUGAUUUGAGCAGAUAUGGGUAUAUCAACUUAAUGAAACAUAAGUCUGAAACAUUUGAAAAGUGCAAAUAAUUUCAGAGUGAAGUGGAAAAUCAUCGUAACAAGAAAAUAAAAUUUCUACGAUCUGAUCGUGGAGGAGAAUAUUUGAGUUACGAGUUUGGUUUACAUUUGAAACAAUGCGGAAUAGUAUCGCAACUCACGCCACCCGGAACACCACAACGGAAUGGUGUGUCCGAACGUCAUAAUCGUACUUUACUAGAUAUAGUGCGAUCUAUGAUGUCUCUUACUGAUUUACCGCUAUCGUUUUGGGGUUAUGCUUUAGAGACGACCGCAUUCACGUUAAAUAGGGCACCAUCAAAAUCCGUUGAGACAACGCCUCAUGAACUGUGGUUUGGAAAGAAACCAAAGUUGUCGUUUCUUAAAGUUUGGGGCUGCGAUGCUUACGUGAAUAAACUUCAACCAGAUAAGCUCGAACCCAAAUCGGAGAAAUGUGUCUUCAUAGGAUACCCAAAAGAGACUGUUGGGUACACCUUCUAUCACAGAUCUGAGGGCAAGAUUUUCGUUGCUAAAUUCGGAUCCUUUCUAGAGAAGGAGUUUCUCUCAAACGAAGUGAGUGGGAGGAAAGUAGAACUUGAUGAGGUAACUGUACCUGCUCCCUUAUUGGAAAGUAGUCCAUCAAAAAGAACCGGUUCCUGUGACAACUACACCAAUUAGUGAGGAAGCUAAUGAUAUUGAUCAUGAAACUUCAGAUCAAGUUUCUACUGAACCUCGUAGGUCUACCAGAGUAAGAUCCGCACCAGAGUGGUACGGUAAUCCUAUUCUGGAAGUCAUGUUACUUGACCAUGACGAACCUACGAACUAUGAGGAAGCGAUGAUGAGCCCAGAUUCCGCAAAAUGGCUAGAAGCCAUGAAAUCUGAGAUGGGAUCCAUGUAUGAGAACAAAGUAUGGACUUUGGUUGACUUGCUCGAUGAUCGGCAAGCCAUUGAGAAUAAAUGGAUCUUUAAGAAGAAGACUGACGCUGAUGGUAAUGUAACUAUCUAUAAAGCUCGACCUGUUGCGAAAGGUUUUCGACAAGUUCAAGGGGUUGACUACGAUGAGACUUUCUCAUCCGUAGCGUGCUUAAGUCUGUCCGAAUCAUGUUAGCAAUUGCUGCAUUUUAUGAUUAUUAAAUUUGGCAAAUGGAUGUCAAAACUGCAUUCUUGAAUGGAUUUCUGGAAGAAGAGUUGUAUAUGAUGCAACCAGAAGGUUUUGUAGAUCCAAAAGGUGCUAACAAAGUGUGCAAGCUCCAGCGAUCCAUUUAUGGACUGGUGCAAGCAUCUCGGAGUUGGAAUAAACGCUUUGAUAGUGUGAUCAAAGCAUAUGGUUUUAUACAGACUUUUGGAGAAGCCUGUAUUUACAAGAAAGUGAGUGGGAGCUCUGUAGCAUUUCUGAUAUUAUAUGUAGAUGACAUAUUAUUAAUUGGAAAUGAUAUAGAAUUUCUGGAUAGCAUAAAGGGAUACUUGAAUAAAAGUUUUUCUAUGAAAGACCUCGGUGAAGCUGCUUACAUAUUGGGCAUCAAGAUUUAUAGAGAUAGAUCAAGACGCUUAAUAGGACUUUCACAAAGCACAUACCUUGAUAAACUUUUGAAAAAAUUCAAAAUGGAUCAGGCAAAGAAAGGGUUCUUGCCUGUAUUACAAGGUGUGAAGUUGAGUCAGACUCAAUGCCCGACAACAGCAGAAGAUAGAGAGAAAAUGAAAGAUGUUCCCUAUGCUUCAGCCAUAGGCUCUAUCAUGUAUGCAAUGCUGUGUACCAGACCUGGCGUAUGCUUAGCAAUAAGCUUAGCAGGGAGGUACCAAAGUAAUCCAGGAGUGGAUCACUGGACAGCGGUCAAGAACACCCUGAAAUACCUGAAAAGGACUAAGGAUAUGUUUCUCGUAUAUGGAGGUGACAAAGAGCUAGUCGUAAAUGGUUACGUCGAUGCAAGCUUUGACACUGAUCCAGACGAUUCUAAAUCGCAAACCGGAUACAUGUUUUUAUUAAACGGUGGAGCUGUAAGUUGGUGCAGUUCUAAACAAAGCGUCGUGGCGGGAUCUACAUGUGAAGCAGAGUACAUAGCUGCUUCGGAAGCAGCAAAUGAAGGAGUCUGGAUGAAGGAGUUCAUUUCCGAUCUAGGUGUCAUACCUAGUGCAUCGGGACCAAUGAAGAUCUUUUGUGACAAUACUGGUGCAAUUGCCUUGGCAAAGGAAUCCAGAUUUCACAAGAGGACCAAGCACAUCAAGAGACGCUUCAAUUCCAUCCGGGACCAAGUCCAAGUGGGAGACAUAGAGAUUUGCAAGAUACAUACGGAUCUGAAUGUUGCAGACCCGUUGACUAAGCCUUUUCCACGAGCAAAACAUGAUCAGCACCAAGACUCCAUGGGUGUUAGAAUCAUUGCUGUGUAAUCUAGAUUAUUGACUCUAGUGCAAGUGGGAGACUGAAGGAAAUAUGCCCUAGAGGCAAUAAUAAAGUUAUUAUUUAUUUCCUCAUAUCAUGAUAAAUGUUUAUUAUUCAUGCUAGAAUUGUAUUAACCGGAAACAUGAUACAUGUGUGAAUACAUAGACAAACAUAAAUGUCACUAGUAUGCCUCUACUUGACUAGCUCAUUAAUCAAAGAUGGUUAUGUUUCCUAACCAUAGACAUGUGUUGUCAUUUGAUUAACAGGAUCACAUCAUUAGGAGAAUGAUGUGAUUGACAUGACCCAUUCCGUUAGCCUAGCACUUGAUCGUUUACUAUGUUGCUAUUUCUUUCUUCAUGACUUAUACAUGUUCCUGUAACUAUGAGAUUAUGCAACUUCCGUUUACCGGAGGAACACUUUGUGUGCUACCAAACAUCACAACAUAACUGGGUGAUUAUAAAGGAGCUCUACAGGUGUCUCCGAAGGUACAUGUUGGGUUGGCGUAUUUCGAGAUUAGGUUUUGUCGCUCCGAUUGUCGGAGAGGUAUCUCUGGGCCCUCUCGGUAAUGUACAUCACUAUAAGCCUUGCAAGCAAUGUAGCUAAUGAGUCAGUUACGGAAUGAUGCAUUACAUAACGAGUAAAGAGACUUGCCAGUAACGAGAUUGAACUAGGUAUUGGAUACCGACGAUCGAAUCUCGGGCAAGUAACAUACCGAUGACAAAGGGAACAACGUAUGUUGUUAUGCGGUUUGACCGAUAAAGAUCUUCGUAGAAUAUGUAGGAGCCAAUAUGAGCAUCCAGGUUCCGCUAUUGGUUACCGAGAAUAGUUCUAGGUCAUAUCAACAUAGUUCUCGAACCCGUAGGGUCCGCACGCUUAACGUUACGAUGACAGUUUUAUUAUGAGUUUAUAAGUUUUGAUAUACCGAAGAUUGUUCGGAGUCUCGGAUGUGAUCACGGACAUGACGAGGAGUCUCGAAAUGGUCGAGACAUAAAGAUUGAUAUAUUGGAAGCCUAUAUUUGGAUAUCGGAAUGGUUCCGGGUGAAAUCGGGAUUUUACCGGAACACCGGGGGGUUACCGGAACCCUCCCGGGGGUUAAUGGGCCUUAGUGGGCCAUGAGGGAGAAGAGGAGGGCCGGCCAGGGCAGGCCGCACGGCCCCUCCGCCCCUAGUCUGAAUAGGACAAGGAAGGGGGGGGGGGGGCGGCGCCCCCCUUUCCUCUUUCCUCUCCCCCCUUUCCUUCUCCACCAUGGCAAGAGGGGGGAGUCCUACUCCCGGUGGGAGUAGGACUCCUCCAGGCGCACCCCUAGGGCCCGGCCGCACCUCCCCCUCCCUCCUUUAUAUACGGGGGCAGGGAAACCCUAGGACACACAAGUUGAUCUUCGUGAUCGUUCCUUAGCCGUGUGUUGUGCCCCCUCCACCAUAUUCCACCUCGGUCAUAUCGUUGCGGUGCUUAGGCGAAGCCCUGCGUCAGUAGAACAUCAUCAUCGUCACCAUGCUGUCGUGCUGACAGAACUCAUCCCCGACAUUUUGCAGGAUCGGAGUCCGGGGAUCGUCAUCGAGCUGAACGUGUGCUGAACUUGGAGGUUCCGUACGUUCGGUGCUUGGAUCGGUCGGAUCGUGAAGACGUACGACUACAUCAACCGCGUUGUCAUAACGCUUCCGCUUACGGUCUAUGAGGGUACGUGGACUACACUCUCCCCUCUCGUUGCUAUGCAUCACCAUGAUCUUGCAUGUGCGUAGGAAUUUUUUUGAAAUUACUACAUUCCCCAACACUUUUUACUGCCCAUAAUGAGUUGUGUUAGAUGACAAUGUCUGAAUGUUUUUCCUUUGCAGUGAUUGCCAAAGCAGUUUACUCAAGAUUACCUCUCAAACUACAUGAUUGUAGGGCAUGAAAAGGUUAAAGUAUUUCUACCAGAACACGACGAUUAUCUAUAUGUUUUCAUGAAGACCGUGAAGUAUGGGUGGUCGACCAUCACAAGGGGUUGGACUAGAGUCGUGCGUGCCUUCUGCAUGGAGGAGGGCACAAUAUGGGCAUUCUGCUUCACCUUGUUCAGCAACUAGAAUGUAUUUCGCCUCUUUCUUUAACAUCUUUAAUAGUACAAGUAUACAACUAUGGUUCAUCAUUCUUUAUUUGGUUCUUAUGUAAUUCUUGAACAUAUGUACCUAUGAAUCGAAUAAUUCAUUGGUUGUUUGAACCUAAUGGAUAUGAAUAAAGCUAUAGCAUACAUUCAAAUUCAAAUCCGGUACAAUUUGAAACAUCAGCAAUUGAAUUACGUUAAACUUAUGCUCUCCAGGUCGUUACAGCACACAUGGUUGGUAAAACGCAAAUGUUUUGCGAUAUACACCAUAAUCCGACAUGGUUCACACAGAGGAAAUGUGUGCAAGCAUGCACACAGUUGCUGUUUGCAAAGCGUGUGCAAUGUCAAACAAUAUCAAAAUGGUGCGGGCAACUAAACAUUUGUGAUAGUUGCCUUAUCGUACACGAUUUGCAACCAUGAACUGCUUCUGAUGAAGUAUGCAUCAUAAACGUGGCACCACAGAAUAGCGUGUGCGAUAGUUGUCGUGUACGACGAUGUUACGAUGGUCCGACAUUUCAUAAUCAUGUCCAACACUCGUACGCCGAUUAGUUAAUCUUCUUAAUUAGUUAUCGUAUACGGUUUGGGAAAAGCGAAUGAGUGUGAUUGUAUGAUUAUCAUACACGUUCUAUAAUAGUGAACCGUUUGUGAUGGGCCGCGCAUCAUAAAUGUAGCACCACAGAAUACCGACUGCGAUGGCAAUGCGAGCACAAAUGAGUAGGAGUACUGUAUAUGCAUCUUGGCUCAUCGCCAACGGUUUCUGGGUCGUGUGGGAAGGACCCCCUAUCGCCCACACUCACUUGGCGAUGGUUCCAAAUGCCGUCACGGAAAGGGAUUCAAAACCAUUUGUAUAGCACCAACGUGUACCACUGGUGGUUAUACAAGUGUAAUAUGGAUAAUAGAUAUUGGUUUUUAUAGAAGGAACAAUAAAAAAUGGAGCACAGACGAUAUUGCAAUGCUCGAAAAUGAGGCCAAGGGUCCGUACUUUCACUAGUGCAACCUCUCAACAAUGCUAAUAUAAUUGGAUCAUGUAACCAUCACUCAAAAUUUGAUGAAGAAUCACUCGAAAGUUCCUAUCUAGCGGAGAACAUAAGAAGAAAUUGUUUGUAGGGUAUGAAACCACCUCAAAGCUAUUCUUUACGAUCGAUCUAUCCAAGAGUUCGUACUAAAUAGCACCAAAUAAUUUCAGAUUCAUAAUACUCAAUUCAACAGAAAGAACCUCAAAGAGUGCCCCAAGAUUUCUAUCGGAGAAACAAAGACAAGAACAUGCAUGAACCCCUAUGCAUAGAUUACCCCAAUGUCACCUCAGGAAUCCGCGAGUUGAGUGCCAAAACAUAUAUCAAGUGAAUCAAUACAAUACCCCACUGUCCCACGGGUAUUCAACAAGACAUACAUAAAGUGUUCUCAAAUCCAUAAAAGUAUUCAAUCUGAUAAAACGAAAUAUCAAAGGGAAAACUCAAUUCAUCACAACAAGAUAGAGAGGGGAAAACACCAUAUGAUCUGACUAUAUUAACAAAGCCCGCGAUAUAUCAAGAUCGUGACAUCUCAAGAACACGAGAGAGAGAGAGAGAGAAAGAGAUUAAACACAUAGCUACUGGUACAACCCUCAGCCCUAAGGGUGGACUACUCUCUCCUCAUCAUGGUGGCCGCCGGGAUGAUGAAGAUGGCCACUGGUGAUGAUCUACCCACCGACGGAGUGCUGGAACAGGGUCUAGAUUAGUUAUUCGUGGCUACAGAGGCUUUUGGAGGAGGAACUUCUGAUCUAGGGUCUCCACGAGGUUUUUUGGAAUAUUUGACGAUUUAUAGUGCGAAGAGGUGGUGCGGGAGGCCACUGAGGUGGGCACAGUCCACCAUGGCGCGCCUGGGCCCCCAGGCGUGCCCAGGUGGGUUGUGACCCCCUCGGGGCACAUCCUAGGUGUUCUAGUCCAUAAAAAUUCUCCAAAAAGUUUCGCGGUGUUUGGACUCGUUUGAUAUUGAUUUCCUGCGAAGUAAAAAACAGCAACUGGCACUGGGCACUAUGUCAAUAGGUUAGUCCCAAAAAAUGAUAUAAAGUUGCUAUAAAAUGAUUGUAAAACAUACAAGAAUGAUAAUAUAACAGCAUGGAACAAUCAAAAAUUGUAGAUACGUUGGAGACUUAUUAGCAUCCCCAAGCUUAGUUCAUGCUCGUCCUCGAGUAGGUAAAUGACAAAAAUAGAAUUUUUGAUGUGGAAUGCUGUCUAUCAUGUUCAUCACAUUCUUUUCUUGUGUAGCAUGGACAUAUGGACUUUUAUAUGGUUCAAAGCAAUAGUCUAGUUUUGACAUGAAGAUUUCAAUACUCAAGCCUAUCAACAAGCAACCAUGUCUUUCAAAAUAUCAACACUAAAGCAAGUUAUCCCUAGCCUAUCAUGCUCAAUCAUUGAUCCAUUCAUGAAACACACUCGCAUAUUAGUACGAUAAUAGUUCCCCUUAGUUGGUGCUUAUAAGAGAAGAUGGAGACUCAAAUAAGAAUAAAAAUUGCAUAAAGUAAAUAGAAAGGCCCUUCAUAGAGGGAAGUAGGGAUUUGUAGAGGUGCCAGAGCUCAAAGCUUAAAUUGAGAGAUAAAAGAUUUUGGCAGGCAUACUUUUCCCGUCAACAAAAAUGACUGAAUAAUUCCCAACACUUUCCAUGCUAGAUAUAUCAUAGGCAGUUCCCAAACAGAUAAUAAUGUCUAUUCCUUUUUCCACCAUACUUUCACAUUCCACGACUAACCGAAUCCACGGGGGUCGUCCAUACCAACACUUUCCGAGAAAUUUAUUAUUUGACAACAUAAAGUAAAUUCAUUUUUUAUUUCGGGACUGGGCAUCCCUAAUACCUUUGUCGUACUCUCAUGCAAUGACAAAUGAAUAAACACUCAUCUUGAGAAUAACACAUCUAGCAUGGAAAAUAUUGGUCACCCCCUACCGCUUCAUGAGCGCUACAAGCACACAAAAAAGAAAUUUAUUUUGAAAAUUAGAGAUGGCACAUACAAAUUUGCUUAGAACAGCGAAAGAAUACCGCAUAUAGAUAGGUAUAGUGGACUCAUGUGGCAAAACUGGUUUAAAGGAUUUUGGAUGCACAAGUAGUGAUCAUACUUAGUGCAAAUGAAGGCUAGCAAAAGACUGAGAAGCAUCCAACCAAGAAACGAAAAAUCUCAUAAGCAAGCAUUAAGAAUAACUAACACCGAAUAAUGCACCACAAGUAGGAUAUAAUUUCAUUGCAUAACUAUUGACUUUCGAGCUUGCACAGAGAAUCACAAACUUUAACACCAAUAUUCUUACUAAAGCAUAAUUACUCACCAACAUGACUCCCAUAUCACUAUCGUCAUAUCUCAAAACUACUCCUUCGUUCCAAAUUACUUGUCGUUGUUUUAGUUCAAAUUUGAACUAAAACCACGACGAAUAAUUUGGAACGGAGGGAGUAUUACAAAGAAUCAAGUUUAUUUUGUCCAAUGAUCUUCAUGAAAAAUUUUAUUAUAUCCCUCUUGAAUAUCUAUCACCUUCGGACUAAUUUCAUAAGUUGCAAUUGUUUUUUACAAGCUCAAGCAAAUUUUAGUGAAGAACAUUAGCAUACAAUUUUCUUCUCUCAAAAUAAUAUAUGUGAAGAAUGAGAGAAUUUCUUCAAAAAAUUUAAAGCACAUCGUGCUCAAAAAGAUAUAAGUGAAGCAUUAGAGCAAAUGACAAACUACUCCAAGAAGAUAUAAGUGAAGUUCAAGUGAGUAGUUAAGUAAAUGGGUAGCUAUUUGAGGACUCUCGCUUAUUUAAAAUUUUGAUCUAAGUAUUUUAUUAAAAUAUCAAAAAAAACAAAAAAAUGACAUUCCAAGAAUAGCACAACUCAUGUGAAGAAGCAAAAACUUAGGCUCAACCGAUAUUAACCGAUAAUUAUUGAAGAAGAAAGGUGGGAUGCCUACCGGGGCAUCCCCAAGCUUAGAUGCUUGAGACUUCUUGAAAUAUUAUCUUGGGAUGCCUUGGGCAUCCCCAAACUUGAGCUUUUGUGUCUUCUUAAUUCCUUUUAUAUCACGGUUUUCCUAAAUCUUAAAAACUUCACCCACACCAAACUCAAUAAGAACCGUGAGAUAAGUUAGUAUAAACCAAUGCAAAAACCUUAUCAUUCCCUACUGUAGAAAAUCAAAAAAAUUAUUAUUCAACAUCGCAUACUAAAUGCCUCUGCAUAUUUAAUACUCCUAUCCUCAAAUAGAAUCAUUAAACAAGCAAACAUAUGCAAACAAUGCAAACAUAACAGCAAUCUACCAAAACAGUACUGUCUGUAAAGAAUGCAAGAGCAUCAAUACUUCUUUAACUCCAAAAAUUAUGAAAAUUUACCACACUAUAGAAAAUUUAUCAGAGCUUACUAUGCAAAAAGUUUCAACAUUUUAUUACAUUCUGACGUUUCUCGGAAUUUUUGCAACAUCAAUAAACUUUCUAUUUUGAAACAGCAACUCAUAUACUUGUAAAAUAAGCAUGGUGAAGGCUAUCCUUGACAUUUUUAUUGAAAUGAAAGAUGCAAAACAUUAUUCUAAAUAGCAUCAAGCAAAUAAAAAUAGAAGAAAAUAAUGCUCCAAGCAAAACACAUAUCAUGUGACAAAUAAAAAUAUAGCCUCCCACAAGUAAGAUUACCGAUAAUGUUGGAGAUGAAAGAGGUGAUGCCUUUCGGGGUAUCCCCAAGCUUAGUUGCUUGGAUCUUCCUUGGAUAUUAACUUAGGGUGCCUUGGGCAUCCCAAGACUAGGGUCUUCUCAUUCUUUAUCUAUUAUAUAUAAAAAAUACUUGACGAGCUAACCAGAAAAAAGAUAUAUGCUCACUACAGGAAUCUGCUACUUUGCCAUCGGCCACGGCGGACGGCAAAGGCAUGGAUGGCGGACGGCAAAAGGUGACGGCAAAGUAGGGGACGGCUAAGAGCUGCGUUGUCGUCUGCUUCGGGCAGCUGACGGCAAAGGGUCCUUUGCCAUCAGCAGCGGACGGCAAAGAAGAUGGACGGCAAUAAAUGCGAUGUUACUCCGUUAGGUGGUUAACGGCAGGCCUUUGCCGUCCGCUGCUGACGGCAAAGCCUUUGCCGUCAGCCACUGUAGGCAAACUGACCAAAUUGGUCGGCCUCCCAGGAAGCACAGCUGCCUGCCACGUGGCCUCUUUGCCGUUCGCUGCUGAUGGCAAAGAGCCCUUUGUCGUCGGUGGCAGACGGCAAAGAGCCUGCAUAUUAUCUCUUUUUUUCUUUUUUUUAAUCCAACAGUUUUCACAGCAAAUAUAUAUGACAUAUAUAGAUAUAUUUAACAGCAAACAUAUCACAUAUCCAGCACAUAAUUCCAUAUACAUAUUACAUAGCAAAGUUUCAUCAACAUAGCAAGUUCCAUGAAGUUCCAUCCAUACACAUUGUUCCAUAUACAUAUUACAUAGCAAAGUUUCAUCAACAUAGCAAGUUCUAUCAUAGCAAGCUAGAUACAAUGCAAAGUUUUAGCAAAGAAAAAGCAAGCACUCCAUCAUAGCAAGCUAACUUCCAUGAAGUGAGUGAAAUCUGCAAAAUGGUAAAUAAGAAAGUUAGAAAUAGGUGAAUAGAACAAGAAGAAGACUAGAACAAGAAGUAUAUGUCAUUUAUGAGCUAACUUAGGUGAAAUGAAUCAUAUAUGAGCUAACUAAGUUGAAAUGGGUUGUUCAUGAGCUAACUUUGGUGAAAUGGAUCAUUUAUGAGCUAACUAAGGUGAAGGGCGUCGUUUUUGAGCUAAGUAAGGUGAAAUGGAUCGUUUUUGAGCUAACUUAGGUGAAAUGGAUCAUUUAUGAGCUUUUAUGAGCUAACUUAGUUGAAAUGAGUCGUUUAUGACCUAACUUAGGUAAAAUGGAUCAUUUAUGAGCUUUUAUGAGCUAACUUAGUUGAAAUGGGUCGUUUAUGACCUAACUUAGGUGAAAUGGAUCAUUUAAGAGCUAGUUUAGGUGAAAUGGAUCGUUUUUGGCUAACUUAGGUGAAAUUGAUCGUUUUGGAGCUAACCUAGGUGAAAUGGGCCAUUUUGGAGCUAACCUAGGUCAAAUGGGUCAUUUUGGAGCUAACCUAGGUGAAAUGGGUCAUUUUAAAGCUAACCUAGAUAAAAUGGAUCAUUUACGAGCUAAUUUACUAAAAAUGGGUCAUUUCAGAGCUAACUUGGAUAAAUUGGAUCACUUGUAAGCUAACUAAGGUAAAAUGAGUCAUAUUAGAGCUAACUUAAGUAAAAUGGAUCGUUUAUGAGCUAACUAAGUUAAUUAUGCAAUUUUUGACAUAAGUAACCUUAUUAAGUCAUUUUGAAGGAAAGGAAGCUAACUCUAGGUCAUUAUGGUAAGCAUAUUGGAGGAAAUAAAGCUAAGUCUAAGUCUAGAGAAACUUACCGCGAUCAGGGAGGUGUAGGAGCGGGCUGGCUCGUGCCGGUAGCUGGAGAAGGAUCGUGCGAUGCGUUUCUGGAGUUAAGCUGCACCAAAGAUCAUUUCCAAUGUCUUGUUAGCAUUAUGACACUCAAAUGUUAGACUAGCAAGUAAUGUCCAUUCAAAUUAAACUCACCAUGCUCCCAGGAGCAAUCACUGGCAUCGACGGAGCGGUCUGACCGGACUUCUCGCACACAGACUGCACAUUUGGUUCUCACAACAGAGUCAUACUAGUUAGUAAUGAGACUCAAAUAUUAAGACUAGCAAGUAAUCUGCAGAAGAAACUUACCACAAGGAGCUCAUACAUGGCCCUUGCAUGCAUGUCAUUCCGUGCCCUCUCCUCCUCCAACAUCUUUGUCGUCCUCUCCUCUAACUCCCGCUGCCUCUCCGCCGCCUCCGCCAGAAGUUUCUCCGUUCUAUCUCUCUCACUCUGUAUAGCAGCCUGCAACACCACUCACAUGACCAUUUGUAAUCAUUGAUGGACCGGAGGCUCGUGGACCGGAGUCCGUGUAGCCUCCUCCUUAGACGAAUCCACCCUAGCAGUCACGUGCUCGGGUGAAACAGCUGGGGGCGGCGGCGAGGAAGGCGCCGUAAGAGCCACCCUACCUCCUCUCCCGCGACCACGUGCUCCACCUCGGCCCUUCUUCUUUCCUCGUCCCCUGCUGGGCACCGCGGUCGACGAAGAAGGGCCCGGCGGUGUCGCCAUACUGUCCAGCAACGCUCGGCAGAGAGGUGCGUGUGGAAUGGAAGACCUCACACUACGCGCCGACGAAGAAGUGGCCUCGGCGCGCUACCGACCAGCGCCCACCAUCUGUCAACACCUGCCAUGACAAAGAAUAAAUGUAAUUACUACAACAUGAAAAAACGAACAACAUAAACAACUGCACAUUUAAAACUACCCGAUCAACACAAUUAUAUAUGAUGUUUUUCAUAACCAAAUCGAAAAAUAUAUGACCUAACUAAUAAUUCACAAAUAUAUGACCCCGUCGGGAGGUGUCGGGGGUCNNNNNNNNNNNNNNNNNNNNNNNNNNNNNNNNNNNNNNNNNNNNNNNNNNNNNNNNNNNNNNNNNNNNNNNNNNNNNNNNNNNNNNNNNNNNNNNNNNNNNNNNNNNNNNNNNNNNNNNNNNNNNNNNNNNNNNNNNNNNNNNNNNNNNNNNNNNNNNNNNNNNNNNNNNNNNNNNNNNNNNNNNNNNNNNNNNNNNNNNNNNNNNNNNNNNNNNNNNNNNNNNNNNNNNNNNNNNNNNNNNNNNNNNNNNNNNNNNNNNNNNNNNNNNNNNNNNNNNNNNNNNNNNNNNNNNNNNNNNNNNNNNNNNNNNNNNNNNNNNNNNNNNNNNNNNNNNNNNNNNNNNNNNNNNNNNNNNNNNNNNNNNNNNNNNNNNNNNNNNNNNNNNNNNNNNNNNNNNNNNNNNNNNNNNNNNNNNNNNNNNNNNNNNNNNNNNNNNNNNNNNNNNNNNNNNNNNNNNNNNNNNNNNNNNNNNNNNNNNNNNNNNNNNNNNNNNNNNNNNNNNNNNNNNNNNNNNNNNNNNNNNNNNNNNNNNNNNNNNNNNNNNNNNNNNNNNNNNNNNNNNNNNNNNNNNNNNNNNNNNNNNNNNNNNNNNNNNNNNNNNNNNNNNNNNNNNNNNNNNNNNNNNNNNNNNNNNNNNNNNNNNNNNNNNNNNNNNNNNNNNNNNNNNNNNNNNNNNNNNNNNNNNNNNNNNNNNNNNNNNNNNNNNNNNNNNNNNNNNNNNNNNNNNNNNNNNNNNNNNNNNNNNNNNNNNNNNNNNNNNNNNNNNNNNNNNNNNNNNNNNNNNNNNNNNNNNNNNNNNNNNNNNNNNNNNNNNNNNNNNNNNNNNNNNNNNNNNNNNNNNNNNNNNNNNNNNNNNNNNNNNNNNNNNNNNNNNNNNNNNNNNNNNNNNNNNNNNNNNNNNNNNNNNNNNNNNNNNNNNNNNNNNNNNNNNNNNNNNNNNNNNNNNNNNNNNNNNNNNNNNNNNNNNNNNNNNNNNNNNNNNNNNNNNNNNNNNNNNNNNNNNNNNNNNNNNNNNNNNNNNNNNNNNNNNNNNNNNNNNNNNNNNNNNNNNNNNNNNNNNNNNNNNNNNNNNNNNNNNNNNNNNNNNNNNNNNNNNNNNNNNNNNNNNNNNNNNNNNNNNNNNNNNNNNNNNNNNNNNNNNNNNNNNNNNNNNNNNNNNNNNNNNNNNNNNNNNNNNNNNNNNNNNNNNNNNNNNNNNNNNNNNNNNNNNNNNNNNNNNNNNNNNNNNNNNNNNNNNNNNNNNNNNNNNNNNNNNNNNNNNNNNNNNNNNNNNNNNNNNNNNNNNNNNNNNNNNNNNNNNNNNNNNNNNNNNNNNNNNNNNNNNNNNNNNNNNNNNNNNNNNNNNNNNNNNNNNNNNNNNNNNNNNNNNNNNNNNNNNNNNNNNNNNNNNNGCGACGAGGUGGUGGGGCGACAGGACGGUGGGGCGGCGGGGCGGUGGUGCGACCGGGCGUCAGCGAGUGGUGGGGGCGGCAGCGCGCAUAUGUGGGAGGGAAACAGAGAGAGAGGGGGGGUGGGGCGCGCCGGCCAUUAGAUACGUUUAAUCUUUGCCGUCCAUCACCUUUGCCGUCCGCUAAUGUGCACUUUGCCGUCCGCUAGCGGACGGCAAAGAGGGGGGCCGUUAAGUAUUUUUUAACCAGCUCCUCAGUGGGGCCCCCUCCCUCUUUGACGGCAAAGAAUCUUUGCAGAACAGGCUGAUGGCAAAGGCUUUCUUUGCCAUCAGCCUGUUCUUUGCCGUCUGCUUUCAGGUAGCUGAUGGCAAAGAACUUCUUUGCCGUCCAUUAGCUGACGGCAAAGAGCUGGCAGAUGGCAAAGUAGCUGAUUUCAAUAGUGGCUAGAUAUUCUCACAAAAAUUAGAAACAUUUGUCCGUCUAUUUAGUAAAUCAAUAAACCACAACCAUUAGAUUAGAUUGAAGUUGGAAAAAAUUAUCCACCAUGCCAUGGAUUUAUUUUUAACUGCCCAACUUUUCUAUCUCAAGCAGCCAAUCGAGAGAGAAAAAAAAAGCCAAUCAAAGUUGCGGGCUCUCCAUCCUCAAACGAUAUUGCCACCAUGUUUUUGGAUGCCCUAGCUUGCUCCUCGUCAACCUAUCUAUAAAGAUCAAUCAAGAAUAACGCAGCUGUCAUAUUCCUGAGCCCAUGGCCGGUCGACCUAGCCGCCGUAUUCCGGAGCCCGUGGCCGAUCUACCUACCAUCAGCAGCUCAGGUUUUAAUCUGCAUGCCCCAUGUACGCACAUGCAACACGAAACCCUACAAGAUCGAUCCAAGCCUUGCCUACAAGUAAGCAACAACAAAGAGCUACUCCCUCCGUUCCAAAUUAAUCGUCGAGCAAAAAUGAAUAUAUCUAGAACUAAAAUACAUCUAGAUACAUCCAUAUCUGCCUACAAGUAAUUUAAUUUGGAACGGAGGGAGUAGGUACUUAGCUCAGGUUCUAAUUUUUCUGCCCCAUGUAUGCACAUGCAGCAUGAGACCCUACAAGAUUGAUCCAAUACUUGCCUUCCUUCUAGGUACGUGGCUCAAGUUUUGAUUUUUCUCCAUGUACACACGUUCACCACGCAGUUGCGUUCGAUCUGGAUAGCACUGCAUCGAUGUUAACUUGAGUUAUUAUGUGUCUAUGUUAGAGUACGUAAUGGGCCUAAUGGCCUAGGCCGGCGGUAUAGUCCGUUAAUCUUAUGUUAAUUAGAGAUAAGGGUCGCUUGCUUAGGGAUCAAGUAAACCUCUCUAUAUAAGGAGAUGAAAGGUACCAAUCUAAUUAAGUAAGAAUUAAGAAGGAAAUCCCUUCCCUCUUGCCCUGCCGUGGACAAAAAGGCCCCCGCCCGGCCCUCUCACGCCCUCCUUUUAGCAGCGCCAUAACAAUUUGGUAUCAGCUAGCUUUGAUUCGAUCAUGUCUUCGCCCCUGCCCGACCUGUCUCUUCCGCUGCCGAGAUCCUCCGUCGCGCCCGCCCCCGCCAUCCUCACCCCGGAGGAGGCGUCCGGGGCGCUGCGGGACCUAACCCAGGCAGUCCAGGAGAUCCGCAUGUUCUUGGCCGGUUCCUACGGGCCGCACCCGGCUGCGCCGACCGUCGCCGCCACCACGCCGCCGUGGCUGCCGUGGCAGCCGCUGCACCAGGCGGCCUCCGCCGCGCUUGCNNNNNNNNNNNNNNNNNNNNNNNNNNNNNNNNNNNNNNNNNNNNNNNNNNNNNNNNNNNNNNNNNNNNNNNNNNNNNNNNNNNNNNNNNNNNNNNNNNNNNNNNNNNNNNNNNNNNNNNNNNNNNNNNNNNNNNNNNNNNNNNNNNNNNNNNNNNNNNNNNNNNNNNNNNNNNNNNNNNNNNNNNNNNNNNNNNNNNNNNNNNNNNNNNNNNNNNNNNNNNNNNNNNNNNNNNNNNNNNNNNNNNNNNNNNNNNNNNNNNNNNNNNNNNNNNNNNNNNNNNNNNNNNNNNNNNNNNNNNNNNNNNNNNNNNNNNNNNNNNNNNNNNNNNNNNNNNNNNNNNNNNNNNNNNNNNNNNNNNNNNNNNNNNNNNNNNNNNNNNNNNNNNNNNNNNNNNNNNNNNNNNNNNNNNNNNNNNNNNNNNNNNNNNNNNNNNNNNNNNNNNNNNNNNNNNNNNNNNNNNNNNNNNNNNNNNNNNNNNNNNNNNNNNNNNNNNNNNNNNNNNNNNNNNNNNNNNNNNNNNNNNNNNNNNNNNNNNNNNNNNNNNNNNNNNNNNNNNNNNNNNCGCGCUUGCCGGGCCGCUGUCGCAGCCGCUGAAGCUGACAUCCACGCCCCGUCCUGGCUGAAAUGGCAGUCGCCGCUCCUGGCGGCCUCCGCCGCGCCCGGCGCUCUGCCGCUGGCCCAAGGCGUCCCCAAAGCGCUUGCCGGGCCGCUGCAGCUGCCAUCAACCGCCACCACCGCCCCACCCUGGCUAUAGUGGUAGCCGCCGCUCCUAGUGGCCUCCGUUGCGCCCAGCACUCCUCUGCAGUAGCCACCGCCGGUCAGCUCCGGCCCCUCAUCGACCGCGCCAGCAGGAGUCCUGAUCCACCAGAAGUUCCCGGUGUCGCCAUUACCGCUUCCCCAGGGUGUCCCCAUCUAGCAAAUCAAGUUCCUGCCGUCGCCGUCACCGCUUCCGGCUUGGAACGGGGGUACCCAGACUUGCCUGCCUGCGGCCCACGGCGUGGCUCCACCAACAGCCCGGUACGACCUAACAUCAGCAGCAACAGCUCAAGACCCUCGCGAGGGACCAAGCCUCGCGAGGCGGACGACACCAAGACCUCCCUGGGGGCGGCCUCCUCAGGCUCGCUCCCGAGGAGCGGAGAUAUCUAUGCAAGGGGCACCUCGCGAGGUUCACAUGACGUGAGCCGUGUCGACCAAGGCCAGGCGGGCGCCAGCGGGCGCAGUGUACCAGUUUCCUCUUUGGUGCUAAAGAGGCAGGCGCAGACGAGGAGUCUAGAGGCAUCAGGCAAUGGUUUUCAUAUCGGUGCAACGAGACCAAGACUAGCAGGACGGCAGGACGGAGGUCAUCGCAGAGCCCACGACAGCGUCACCACCAGAGCCUUUGGCAGGCGAAGACUACUUUUGUCAGGAUAACUUGUACUAGUUGUCUUCCUUCAAAAUUGGUCGUCGUGGGAUCCCUUCCCGCCUACAUUUGGGAAGAGGACCGGAGCCUCUAUAAAUAGGACUAGUCACCACCAUAGGAGGGGAUCAUCUUAGACCGGAGAGAACUGAUCUGGGACCGGAUCCAUUCCACCAAGACCAUCCUCUCCAGCUCAUAGAGCUCAAGAACACCUCUCCUCCGGAGGCUGUUCAACCAUUGUACUAGUUCAUCCUCAGCCCACGAGGCAAUCCACCACCACCACAGUGGAGUAAGGUAUUACACCACAACAGUGGCCCGAACCAGUAUAAAUCUCUGUGUCUCGUGUUCUUUGGGUUCGUCGAGCUAGGCCGUGAGAGCGUUGAGCGAGCGAGCUAGGGAGAUGGAAUACUUCGUGCGCACCCCAAAGUUUGAACCUCACAAGGGUUUGCCGAAACCCAGAAUCCGACAUUUGGCGCUCCAGGUAGGGGUGCGCCAAAACUUCGUCUCUUCGCCUGCUUCACCUCUCCGUCUUGCUCCCAUGGCCGGCACCGCUUCCCUGACUAGAUCGACAAACGCACGCGACGGGGCCCUGGGCCUCCGGGCCCUCACCCCCGCCUUGUGGCAAGUGCAGUGGCCGCACAAGUUCAGUCCGGAGAUGUCGCCUCGUUAUGACGGCACGGCGGAUCCAUCGGCCUUCCUGCUGGCGUACGAGGAGGCGGUUUUGGAAGCUGGAGGCGACGACAAGGUCAUGGCCAACUGGUUCCCCAUGGCACUCACCGGUGUGCCGCGUGCCUGGCUGCUCAACCUGCCAAGAUCUUCUAUGGCUUCCUGGGAGGAGCUACGCGGCCUUUUGUCGAACGCUUCGCGGCACCAGCACCCCUUGCCGUUGCGACCCUCCUCGGCGGCUCGCAGGCGCCGCCCUCGGACCGCCACAUCAAGCAAUUCUUCUGCCAAAUCGGCGCCACCUCUGUGUAGCAGGGCGCCCCUCCGGGAUGGGCGGUGCCCAAGGCCGACCUCACCUUCGACUCGAGGGACCACCCCGCAACCACCGCUGGCUCAGGCGCACUCCCGAUGCUCUGCACACCCACCAUCUGCAACGUAGCAGUGACCAAGACCCUCAUCGACGGCGGAGCCGGCCUCAACAUGCUCUCCAUGGAAGCGUUCGGCUUGCUUCACGUGUCGUACGGCUGGCUCCGUCCCACCAAGUCCUUCCCCGGAGUUGGCAGCGGUUCCACCAGCCCCCUAGGGCAAAUCCGCCUCCCGGUCACCUUCGGUACCCGCGACAACUACCGCACCGAGCUUAUCGACUUUGACAUCGCUCGCAUCUGCCUCCCGUACAACGCCAUCCUUGGGUACCCUUCCCUGGCUCAGUUCAUGGCGGCAACCCAUCCAGCCUACAACCUCAUGAAGAUGCCGGAGAGUAGCGGCGUCCUCACCGUAGCCAGGGACACCAAAGAAGCCCUGACGGCUCUCGAGCUCGCCUUCAGGGCCGCCGCGGUGGCACGCCCGGCCGACGGAGCCCCAGAUACAAAGCACAAAAUAACCAGGACGCUAUGACAAUAUGUCGAUGGACUGGAUAUCCCAAUGUAUUUGUGACAUUCACAUGCAACACAGUUUAGUCAGAAAUUCAAUCAAUGCUACAAGAAGUAGGCCAAACAGCAUCAGAAAGACCUGAAAUUGUUGACCAAGUGUUCCACAUAAAGCUCAAGGAGUUCGUGAGAGACAUAAGAGAAAGGUAAUACUUUAGAAAAACACUCGCAAGUAAUACCCAACUACUUGAUCACACCUCUUACUAUAUCCCUAUAGAAAAAUAACUAACGGUUAUUUCAAAAUUGCAGUUAUAUACACAAUAAAGUUCCAAAAAAGGGAUCUCCGACAUGCCCACAUAGUCAUAUUCCUUGACAGAAAGGAAAAGAAACACAAGUACCCCGAACCAUCAGAGGUAGAUAGGAUAACAUGCACUGAAAUUCAAGACUAGUUGAUCCAUAAGGAUAUGUAGUGGUUGAGAACUACAUGUUGCAUGGACCAUGUGGCAUGGUCGACAACACAUGUAUAAGAAAGUUCCCUAAAAAAUAUGACAGUAAUACCACUGUAGGUGAAGAUGGAUAACCAGUAUAUAGAAAACGAUAAGAUCAAUAGGUGCCUCAAGUACACGUACAUAUCAGGCAAUGACGUGUGUUGAAGAAUAUUUCAGUUCAAAAUGCACUUUCAAGAUCCCUGCAUCGAAAGGUUGCAUUUCCACCUAGAGAAUGAGCAACAAAUCAUUUUAACUGAUUAUACAGAUUUAACAAAGAUCGUAAGGAAAGAAAGAGUGGGAAUAACAAAAUGUACAUAGUGGAUGGAGACAAACAAGAUCCCGUGAAGCAAGAGAAUUAACAUAUGCAGAGUUCCCGUUAAAAUGGGUAUGGAAGAAAAAAGAGAAAAAGUGGGGCAAAACAAAGAAAGGAAGAUACGCUGGAAUGAUAUAUAUGCUCAUACAACAAAUGGUGAAAAAUACUACAUGCGAAUGCUACUUAACGCCCGCAAAGGAUGCAUGUCUUUCAAAAGGAACCGUAAAUGGAGUUGUCCACACUUCAUACAAAUCUGCUUGCGAAGCACUAUGAUAUCAACGACAGAGUGGAUUGAGUGCAUAAAUGGGGCAUCAGACUGGGUGAUUGGCUACCAGCUAAGACAACUGUUCACAACUCUUAUGCCAUUGAAGUCACAAGCCCAAAAAUAUUGUGGGGGACAUGCUCAGAAGUUCUAAGCGAACACAUGGAGUAUAGGCAGAGAAGGCUCUUGAACUAUCCUACACUUUGACUAACAGAUACACAGAAGCAAGGAUACGCCUUGGUGAAAGUAGAUAAGCUCAUGAGACAAGCUGGAAAGACAUUUAAGGAAUACCCCGGAAUACAACAUUCGGAUUCUUCACAGAUAAAGUAACUUGGAAACAGACUACUCAAUGAAGAGAUAACAUCAUUCCAGGAUCUUUGGCAAUAUGAACUCUGAACAACUACAUGCGUUUGAUUCAGUAAUGGAAUCGAUGAACAAAAAUUUGGGAAAGAAUAUAUUUGUGGACGGCUAUGGCGGGAUCUGUAAGACAUACCUACGGAGGCAAUCACAGCAAAGUUGUGUUCCGAAGGAAAGAUAGUACUAGCAGUGGUGUCAUCUCAUAUUGCAGCGCUGCUUCUAUAGGGAGCACACUCGAGGUUCCACAUCCCCCUAUCCUUGCAGAAGAGUCAACAUGUUAAGGUUCCCACUUGACCUACUAAAAAAGACGUCACUUAUACUACGGGAUAAAGGUCUAAUGGCAAAUAAGAUAUGCUUUGAGGCACUAGACAGAAGUAAAGGUAGUACUAUAUUUUCCUAAACAAGUGUUCACAAAUGGAUAGCUACACGUAGCAUUAUCAAGAUUCACAAGAAGAGAUGGACAAUGUGUAAUGGUAAAUGAUGAAGAUAGCAAAGAGGAUGAUGUGGUCAAGAACAUUGUCUAUACUGAACUAUUUUAAAGGUAUGGAAAAACAAAAACACUUUUAGUAUGAUUCUUAGAUAAGAAUAGGUACAUGAAAAAUUUGUACACUGCAAACUAUCUUCAAAAUACAAAUUAAUAGCAUACCAAUGCUAACAUGAUAUGGCAGGACAAAUAUGGUCCACUGCUCUGCGUAAGUACUGGAAACGUGCAUCAACAUUUGAAGGAAAUAGUUAAUCAAUACCAAACAUGUACACUAUAUUUUCUGAUAUUUGUGGCUUAAUAUAUAGUACAACACAAUAUAAAGAGCAUCUGUGCAUCAUUAUAAUUUGUAUGACAAUGCGGUCAGACCUAUUUUACUACUCUAUUAAUAUAAAUACAUUUUUGUCUUUGGGAAAUAUUAAACUAGAGUUACUCACAAUUACACUGAUUAAUACAUAUAUUUGUUCAAUAUGAAUUGGGGUAAGGUUUUUAUUAUUUAUAUGUGUUAAAUAUGAAUUGGAGUAAGGGGGGCUAAUACUGCCGAUUACGGUCCAAGCCUGGAAAGAAGUGGAAGGGGCAUAAGAAAAUAAACAUUUUCCACUAACAGGCAGUACCUUAAUCACAUUAUAUUGGUAUAUACAACCGUACAAACAUAAUAAAAGGUUAAUAAAAAAUCGCAAUCAGGAAAAGGAGAAAGGGGAACCUGUAGGACGAAGAAAGCUGCCGAUGUGGAGGAAGACGACGAUGUGUCUGGCUGCCUCGACUGGGAACGACGACGAUGCGUCUGGCUCGCGCGCUAGGGGAAGACAACGCUGCCGCCAUCCUCAUGCUGAAGAUGGAUUCAAGCUGGCAGCGGAAGACAAGAUCCAAGCCCACAUCACAUGCGAGUCGAGCUGGGAGGUGCCUCAGUCGAGGACGAGCAAGCUAAAGGGAGAGCAAACUGAUGGUAGCUGAGUUACCAGUCGGAUCUCAUUCGGUCGUAGGAAUUUUGGAAUGAGCGAGCGGAGAGAAGAAGGAAAGGAGAAAGGGGAUCGGGCAAGAGUACGAUUUUUUAUUUGUAGGGAAGCAACUGCAAUACGUUUCUUUUAGCGGUGCAAGAGCUACAUGCUCACAUGUGAAGGUACGGUCUGAGCAAGAGAGAAAAUGUGUGAGCAUUGUGUUGUGUGCAUCUCCG
This 55097-nucleotide long non-coding RNA is filed under the name Triticum aestivum (bread wheat). RNAcentral describes it as "long non-coding RNA (TAES_LNC012060)". The record is from RNAcentral. Lineage: Eukaryota; Viridiplantae; Streptophyta; Magnoliopsida; Poales; Poaceae.